RNAcentral lists this long non-coding RNA (81410 nucleotides) under Brassica napus (rape). Its description in RNAcentral is "long non-coding RNA (BNAP_LNC012116)". The record is from RNAcentral. Lineage: Eukaryota; Viridiplantae; Streptophyta; Magnoliopsida; Brassicales; Brassicaceae.
UGGGGGGGUCGUGAGGUAGUGCUUGAGUUGAUUGAACGCCUCUUCGCAUUUUUCGUCCCAGACGAACCUCUUGUUGCCCCUUAGUAGCUCGUAGAAGGGAAGACACUUAUCGGUUGAUCGCGAGAUGAACCUGUUGAGAGCUGCUAUGCGUCCGGUUAGUCGCUGUACUUCGCGGCUGUUCUUUGGGCUUGGAAGAUCGAGGAUCGCCGAGAUCUGCUUGGGGUUAGCCUCGAUUCCUCGUUGAGUGACAAUGUAGCCGAGGAAUUCUCCCGAAGUGACACCGAAGGUACACUUGGCCGGGUUGAGCUUCAUCCCGUAGUCAUUCAAGAUCUUGAAGCAGUCGCGUAAGUUGUUUAGGUGAUCGUCGGCCUUGAGCGAUUUGACUAACAUGUCGUCGAUGUACACUUCCAUGGUGUUGCCUAGCUGAUCGGCGAACAUUCGGUUGACGAGUCGCUGAUAAGUCGCGCCGGCAUUCUUUAGCCCGAAGGGCAUCACCUUGUAGCAGUAGGUCCCUCUGUCGGUGAUGAAUGCCGUCUUCUCGCGAUCGUCGGGAUGCAUCAAGAUCUGGUUGUAUCCCGAGAAAGCGUCCAUGAAGGUUAGGAGUUCGUUACCAGCAGUUGAUUCGACGAGACGAUCGAUAUGAGGGAGUGGGUAACUGUCCUUUGGGCACGCCUUGUUGAGGUCCGUGAAGUCGACGCAUAUGCGCCAUUUGCCGUUUUUCUUUUUGACGACAACCGGGUUAGCCAACCAUUCGGGGUAUCGGACUUCGGUUAUGAAACCCGCGUCGAGGAGCCUGUUGACUUCUUCAUUUACGGCUUUAGAUCGUUCUGGACCGAGUUUUCGUCGCUUCUGUCGGAUGGGUUUGAACGUCGGAUCAACGUGUAGUUCAUGAGAGGUAACUGCGGGGUCGAUUCCCUUCAUGUCGGAAGUCUUCCAGGCGAACGUCGAGGCGUUGUCUUUGAUGAAAGAGAUGAUCCUUGAACAUACGUCGUCGGACAGGUAGACGCCAACUCGGAUGAUUUCGUCGGGUCGGAUUCAUCAAUUGCGACUUUGCGAACUUCCUCCUUCUGAGGGUAUAUCUUGUUGAGUGGUUUACUGACGGAGUUGACAAGGGAAGCUUGUUGCUGCAUCUUUACAGUUGCGAUCAGUAGUUCUCUUGCGGCUUGUUGAUCGCCCCGAAUCGUCUGAGUUUUGCCGUCUUUUCCGGGAAACUUGAUGCAUUGAUGAUAAGUCGAAGGGACGGCUUUCAUGGAAUGCAGCCAUGGUGUUCCGAGUAUGGCAUUAUAGGGUGCUUUGGCGCGGAUGACGGAGAACUUGACGGUGCGGGUUAUACCACCUGCGUAAACUGGAAGGCGAAUUGUCCCGAUCAUUUGCUCCGAGGCUCCGUUGAAGCCGGUGAGCGUGCGAGAGGAAGGCUUCAUAUCCCUUAAAUCAACUCCCAUUUUGUCGAGUGUGUCGCGAAAGAUGAGAUCGACUGAGCUGCCGGUAUCAAUAAGGACUUUUGCGACCAGACAUUCGCCGAUGUCAAGGUCGACGAGGAGAGGAUCGUUAUGUGGCAUGUGGACGCCCUUGGUGUCUAGUGCCGAAAAAGUGAUCUGGUGAUCAUUUUCGACUGGAGAAGGCCACUUCUGAGAGGUGGUUGCUUGACGUUUGUAAUCUUUGACGGCUCGAACCGAGUCACCGCAAGGUGGUGAUCCGCCCAUUAUGACACUAAUGUGCGGGGCUCGGGUAGCUCGCAUUGAUUCGAGUUGCUUCCUCAAAUCGUCAGUUGUGUUCUCGAAUGUAGGAAUUUCUGCGGGCUGUUUCUUUUUUGACUCAAGACGUCGUCGCAGAUCGGACCCUUUCGAACGGUUGAGUUGGAUUCGCAGGUCGUCGGCCUUCGAAUUGAGCUGGUCACGAAGGUCGCCAGUUUGACCGACUCUCCGAGCGUUGCAUUUUGAGAUGGUCGCACGGAGGUCGGUGGUUCCUGUGUUUUCGUUCGUGGCGCUUUUUCGCUUCAAUAGAAUGCGUAGGUCUUUAUCUGCUUUCGAGGGAGCGAGGGACUGCUUAUCCUUGCUGUCCAAUUUAUCGUGCAGAUCUGGUUGCACUGUCGGGACGUCGUCAUCAGAGGAGUCGCAAGGGCGAGAGAGUAUGACUUCCACUCGUCGCCGGCGACGCGGGUGUUCGUCUUCUGACGAAUCGUUGGCGGGGCCGACGUUGUUGAUGGGAGUGCGCUCAGGGCUUGCUCUUUCCUCGCUCGGGGCCGUGUUCUUUUGAGACUUCUGUGCCUUCUUCUCCUUGUUCUUACUCCAGCUUUUAGUGUUUUUCGGUGUCGUAGGAGAAGUGGGCAUUUGGAUUGUCCCAUUAGUGAUCCCGUCGAAAAACUGCCCGAUGAGGACCUUGCAUUCCUUCGUGUCAUGGGAAUCCCUUUUGUGGUAGAGGCACCAUUUUUUUGGCUCCUCGGAGUUUGAACUCGCUGGUUCGGAUGAGGUUGAUUGCUUCGGAGCGGAGUCUCGAUCCCAGUGGUUCCAGCCUUUCUCUCGCGUGAUGGCUGCUGAUUUUGGAGAUUCCUCAUCAUCGACCGAGCUAACGUAGCCUCGCUUCUGAGUGGUAUUUCCACCGGAGGAGUGCUGGCGGGGCUCGGGGCGGGUGUCGUUUGUUCGGGAGGAUCGCUGUCUCGCUGCUGCUUCUUUUGCGAACUUUGCUCUGGUGUCUUCUUCCAUGCGGAUAAAGUUGUGCGAGCGAGCGAUGGCGUCGGAGACAGAUUUUGUCGGAUAUCGGUAGAGAUCCUGGCGGAAUGUGGAGUCGACGUGCAAGGUGUUCAUCAAAGAUUCGACGGCGAUAUGGUCGGGAAUAUCAAUCUUCGAGACAAUAGCUUUGAAUUUCUCCAUGAAGUCGCGGAGACUUUGGUCGCUGGCGUGAGUGAGGUUCCACAAAUCUGACACGGUCGCUUCCUGGUUGGUGAACAUGAUAUAGUUCUUAAGGAAAGCCGUUGAGAGGUCGUGGAAACAGUCGACGGAGUUUUCUCUGAGGCCGGUGAACCAAGUAAGGGCCGGUCCUUCUAGGGUUUCGACGAAGAGUUGGCAAAAGCCGGCGUCUUUGUCUUCGUCGGUCAGGUUUGCGCGUCGCAUCGCUAUGUUGAAAGACGUGACGUGAGUAGAAGGGUCAGAGAGACCUUUGAAGGUUGGAAGACGGAGUUUCUCCAUCUUCUGUAGCCGCACGCCGGUAACCUUUUGCGUGAAGGGUGUACGAAGAGAUUCCGCGAGUACAUGCUCGAUUUGGGGCGCGGACGUCGUCACCUGGUGGAUCUUCGAAUUGAUGUCGAGGACCGACUGUUUCAACGCGGCUAGUUCGCUUGCGGUGUGCGCAUUGGUGUCGUUACCGGCGCUUUGGUUAUCGUUAUCCCGCGUAGGUGCUACGUCGGUGGUUCGUUCUGUGGCGAACAGGUGUCGACGAUACUGCGCCGUUGAAGCUUCGGCGUUUGCAGCGAGAGGAGCAAGGAUCUUUGCUAUCGCCGUGAUUUGGUCAACUGCCGCCUUCUGCGCCGCUUCUUGUAGGGCGAGGCGUGCCAGGAUAGUUUCCAUAGACGCAGGAUGGGGAAGUGGAGUUACUGGUGUAGGCGUAGGUGUCACCUCUGGAGCCGGUGUCACCUCGAGAGCUUCGCGCUCCUCGCUAGACGAAGAACUGUCGUUGCUAACGACCAUAAUUCUGACGUUACUUUGCUAGUUGCCCCACGGUGGGCGCCAACUGUUUGAUCGGAAAACGGUAAUAAAUAAGAUGUGGGUUUAAACAAAGACGUCUUAUUAAUGGUCGGAGAAAAAACGUUCGGUCGGUUACAAGGGAAAAGAAGAGAGUGCGACCGAAAGGAAGCCGGUGGCUCGAUGAGCUACCGGAAAAGUACAACUAACGGCGAGAUGAAGCAAAGGUGAAAACCCUAAUCUAGCCGCCAAGUGUUAGUCAGUGAUUUCGGAUCCUUUUCUCGUUGUCUCUCCUUUCCCUUAUAUAGACGUCCUAAUAUUUCGUCCUUGACCUAAUUUACGCCAUCUUGGUGGGCCUCCUCUACUGGGCCGAGAAGCCCGUAGGCGUCCGAGCAGCCGCUGAGCCGAACGUACUUCAGUCGAUGAUGAUCAACUAAAAGUACUCAAGAGUCAAGCCGAGAGACCUGGCUCUCGAGCCGACCGAUCGAGCCGUCGCUCUUCCUAAUCCGGGCCAGGCCUUCCUAUUCCUCGGGCCUUGUGGGAUGGUCAAAUCCAUCCUCUACAAAAGUGUUAGAGCUUAGAAAUGUGAAAAGUGAAUAAGAGGUCCUUAGUGGUUGAGUGUUCAGAAAAGAAUGUUGUUCAUUGGGUGAGUGAUGUGAGUGUUUUUCAUUUUGGGUUAUGGGAUGAAUGAAAUGGGUGUAGAAUUUGUAAUCACUUAGGAAUGGGGUAGAAUGAUGAGAAUGAAUCUAUGUAUGCAUGAGUUGCUUCUAAUCUUAGAUAAAUUUUGCAUAAUGAUCAAGCUCCUUGUUCUUGAGUGAUAACCACCUUGAAAUGACAACAUUUGAAUCCUUCUUUUCAUUCAUAUUAGACCAUUGUUUACCUAGCCAAAUGAUUGAGAUCAUGUCCCCAUUUGUGAGAAUUCACCUUGUGUGUGUGUGUGAAUCUAUGUGAGAGCUGGUUGAAAGACCUUGUUAGUUGAUGAGUAUUGCAACUUGAGUAGAGGAAUAAGAGUAUAGAUAGGCCUAGAGAAGCUAGAGUAUAAUAAGGGAGUUGCUAAUGCUAUUUGCUAUGUUUUCUUAUGAUGUUAGGUUGAAGGCUAGAAAGUGUUUCUUUUGGUUAUAAACUCCCAAUUUUAAAUAUCUCCCUCUUGAUUGUUUUUGAAGUUUACUUGUGGACAAGUAAAGGACUAGUGUGGGGGAGUUGAUAUCUCAUGAUUUUCAUAAGUUUUAGAUUCAUCCUUUAGCUUAUUAUGAUCAUUUUAGGUUGCAUUUAGGUGUUAAAUUGUAGUUGCAUACAUAAUUGCAUUUGACAGGGUCUAAGAUGCACAAUUGGAAGUUUUGAAGCUGAUUCGGGUGGACCUUUCUGUAAAUUCAAGAGUUUUGGUGUCAAUUCGUAAAUAUCUAAAAGAAGAAGGACCAUAUGUGCAAUUUAGCCAAAAUUCACCAUUGGAGAGACUGUGAGCUUUCUCUUCCUCGACUCCGGAGCUGGACGACGAUGGCUGCGGCUUGGAGAUGUACUCACGACACCGGAAGCUUGGAAUGGACGACGAUGGCUGCGGCGGUGGAGGAGCUCGCCGUGCUUGGUCCGGUGACGUCAUGGCUUAGAAUCCGGAGAUUCGUGGUGGAGCAAAGCGUCGGAGAGAGGCUCAGACUCACAGGCGGUGACGCAGUGGCGAUGUCGUGGAUAUGGUGAAGCUCGAGGAAGACGAAGAAGAAGAAGUCAAGCUCGAGUCGAAGCGGGUCCAUUGUAGCGGGUUGGUAAGGUCGCUCGUUUUGUCACGAGCUCGGGAUUUGACGGCGAUAUGGUCGGGAAUAUCGAUCUUCGAAAAAUCUUGAGAGUAUUGGGAGCGACAUGGAUUUGUUCUCAUCUCUUGCUAGCAUAGGGUCAUCAUUUGAGCUAGCUUCUAGGAUGGUGAGUGGGGUCUUUGUUCCUUAAAGGUUUAUAUCUUGGGUUUGGGAAGUGAUAAAGUUGAGAUUGAUGAACAAAAGAUUGUCAUGAGAAAGAAAAGCCCUAGGGACCUAGAAUAGAAAAAUAAGAAAGCUCUUGAUUGUAUUGUUUGAGACCUUCCCCCCUUUAAAAAAAAAAUGGAGAAAAAGAAAAAGAAAAAAAGAAAGAUUCAAUAAGAUAGUGGGGAAGGGAUAAUAAAAAGUGUUAGAGCUUAGAAAUGUGAAAAGUGAAUAAGAGGUCCUUAGUGGUUGAGUCUUAAGAAAAGAAUGUUGUUCAUUGGGUGAGUGAUGUGAGUGUUUUUCAUUUUGGGUUAUGGGAUGAAUGAAAUGGGUGUAGAAUUUGUAAUCACUUAGGAAUGGGGUAGAAUGAUGAGAAUGAAUCUAUGUAUGCAUGAGUUGCUUCUAAUCUUAGAUAAAUUUUGCAUAAUGAUCAAGCUCCUUGUUCUUGAGUGAUAACCACCUUGAAAUGACAACAUUUGAAUCCUUCUUUUCAUUCAUAUUAGACCAUUGUUUACCUAGCCAAAUGAUUGAGAUCAUGUCCCCAUUUGUGAGAAUUCACCUUGUGUGUGUGUGUGAAUCUAUGUGAGAGCUGGUUGAAAGACCUUGUUAGUUGAUGAGUAUUGCAACUUGAGUAGAGGAAUAAGAGUAUAGAUAGGCCUAGAGAAGCUAGAGUAUAAUAAGGGAGUUGCUAAUGCUAUUUGCUAUGUUUUCUUAUGAUGUUAGGUUGAAGGCUAGAAAGUGUUUCUUUUGGUUAUAAACUCCCAAUUUUAAAUAUCUCCCUCUUGAUUGUUUUUGAAGUUUACUUGUGGACAAGUAAAGGACUAGUGUGGGGGAGUUGAUAUCUCAUGAUUUUCAUAAGUUUUAGAUUCAUCCUUUAGCUUAUUAUGAUCAUUUUAGGUUGCAUUUAGGUGUUAAAUUGUAGUUGCAUACAUAAUUGCAUUUGACAGGGUCUAAGAUGCACAAUUGGAAGUUUUGAAGCUGAUUCGGGUGGACCUUUCUGCAAAUUCAAAAGUUUUGGGGUCAAUUCGUAAAUAUCAAAAAGAAGAAGGACCAUAUGUGCAAUUUAGCCAAAAUUCACCAUUGGAGAGACUGUGAGCUUUCUCUUCCUCGACUCCGGAGCUGGACGACGAUGGCUGCGGCUUGGAGAUGUACUCACGACACCGGAAGCUUGGAAUGGACGACGAUGGCUGCGGCGGUGGAGGAGCUCGCCGUGCUUGGUCCGGUGACGUCAUGGCUUAGAAUCCGGAGAUUCGUGGUGGAGCAAAGCGUCGGAGAGAGGCUCAGACUCACAGGCGGUGACGCAGUGGCGAUGUCGUGGAUAUGGUGAAGCUCGAGGAAGACGAAGAAGAAGAAGUCAAGCUCGAGUCGAAGCGGGUCCAUUGUAGCGGGUUGGUAAGGUCGCUCGUUUUGUCACGAGCUCGGGAGCGGCUUGAGGCUCGCGGGAUUCCCUUAACCGCGCGAUGACGAUUGACGCGGAGAGAAGGGCACGCGGGGUCAUGUACCCGCUCGCAUGAACUGAAGGCGUGGUGAUGGCUUGACGCGGGGAAGCUUACGCGGGUUGAGCCCCAAAGAUCUUACCCGAGUCGAUAUUUUACCUUAGUCGAAUUUUAAUAUUUUUAAAGGGCAUUUUAGACUUUCUAAAGGAAACCAUUAGGUUUUCCAAGGACAUAUAAAUACUCUUGUAAUCCCAAAGUUGGGGGGAUUAUCUUAUUUUCUAUCUAAUCACAAAAGAACUUUGAGUUGAAAGAUCUAAUCUUGAUCAUAAGUUCUUAUCUUUGCUUGAUUAUCUUGCUCUCUAAUCAUGUUUAACCUUGAAUCAUCCAUGGUUUUGGGGUUAUUCAUGUCUAUUAGUGAGUAGACUAAUCUUGGAUUCAUGGGCUAUGGUGAUUAAGGGUGAUUAGAGAAGAUCUAGGGUGUUUAGUGUUAGAUUUACUUGUUUCCUUGCUUGUUGAGGGUUCUCAAUGCUAUUUUAGUCAUGUUCAUACUAAAAUAGAUCUCUAGGCAUUUCAUGCCCACAAGGUGUAUGAUGAAAUGCCUGAACCAACUCUUCAAUGCUUUUAGCUUGCUUUACCUAAGAGAUUAGUUGCUAAAGGAGUUAAGAUUGCUAUUAGACUUGUUCUCCAUGUUUGCUUUAGUAACAUUCAACCUAAGAGAUUAGAUGCUUGAGUUGCUUUACCAAAAGAACAUUCAUCUAGAGAUAGAGCUUGUUUAGCUUAGUGUCUAGGCAUAAGGAAAGUGUUUGAUUGAUACCUUGCCACCCUUAGAUUGGAUCUACAUCACCCAAGAUCAAAUGCCUAGCCCCAUGAGUCCUCUUGCUUCAAAUUGAGAAAGAAAGAUCAUUACUUUAUUGCAUUAGCUUACUAGUUCUUAGUUCAUACCAUCUUAAAACCGGAUCGCACUUAGCUUAAGCAUGAACUUGCAUUCCCUUUGCUUUAGAAUCACUUAGGAUUGGUUCGACAAUCUUUUAUAUUACAUUGAUUUGAUCUUAGACCCAUGAAAAGUCUUGCAUCAGAUAUACAUUGUCAUAAGUACAAUCUAUAUAUAUAAAAAAAUGUUUGCCUCCCUCCUGUUGCGCCACCUCAGCAUCCAUGUCACAAAGUCGAGUCCUGAGAAGCCGACACGUGUCCCUUCUAUUAAUACUCUGCGUUUCAUUUAUAGAGUGGGCUGCUGCUUUCAGUUUUGUUAUAGAGUUGAGCCGAAACUGAAAACAUUGUCGAAGCCCAAUAUUGACAAUCUUGCAAUCAUCUAUUUUUAAGGUUCAUGAUAUUCUUCAAACUCUGAUUUGUUAAACCGACCAUGGAGUUUCGGAUAGGUUAUGAGAGACGAAUUUUACGGCCAAUCUUUGGUAAGAACUGUCAUUUGUGUCGAUUUUUCUGUAUUCCUUCUCGACGGCAAAGGGAAACCGGACCGUUAAGGGAUGCAUUCAAUGUUGCCAUUGACAACCUUCUUAAUUACCCACCCUUCCAUGUUUCUUAAUAUAUAAUAUAUUUUCGAAAGUUAACAUAAAAUAUCUUAUAAAUAUAAUAAUUAACUUAAAAAUGCAAGAUAUUUAAACAAUUAGAACCAUAUAAAUUAAAAACAUGUGAUUUUUAAAGUUUAGGUUAUAUGCUAUUGAAAAUAAUCAGUAAUAUGAAUUAAAAUACAUAGGAUUUAAAACAACUAAUCAUAAAAUGACAAAAUCAUUAUUUUAGUUUAAUAUUUUCAAAAAUGUCAAUAUUUUCAAAAUUUUAUUUAUUUCAAAAUAAAACAGAAAUCAAUAUCAAACAAGGAAAGCUAACAAAAGUACAAAAAAUUAUAUAUGUAAGUUAACUGAAUAUAUAAUAAACUUUCAAAAAUUUAAAAUAAAAUUAAAAAUAAAAAUAAAAAUGCAAGGCUUCCAAAGAAUUAUAACUAUACAAAAUUUAAAACAGGUAAUAUUAACUAUUAUUAAUAAAUUAACAAAAGUUAUAACUAAUACCAAACAAGGUAUGUUAACAAAAGUAAAACAUUAUUAAUAAAUUAACUUAUAUAGAAUUUUUUUUUCGAAUUUUAACAUAAAAAUAAAAUACAAAAUAAUAAUAAUUAAUUAAAGUGCAAGAAUUUCAAAAUAUUAUAAGUAAAUUAAUUUAACUCAUAAUGAAAAUCCAUAUUUAUAUAUAUAAAAAAAUGUUUGCCUCCCUCCUGUUGCGCCACCUCAGCAUCCAUGUCACAAAGUCGAGUCCUGAGAAGCCGACACGUGUCCCUUCUAUUAAUACUCUGCGUUUCAUUUAUAGAGUGGGCUGCUGCUUUCAGUUUUGUUAUAGAGUUGAGCCGAAACUGAAAACAUUGUCGAAGCCCAAUAUUGACAAUCUUGCAAUCAUCUAUUUUUAAGGUUCAUGAUAUUCUUCAAACUCUGAUUUGUUAAACCGACCAUGGAGUUUCGGAUAGGUUAUGAGAGACCAAUUUUAUGGCUAAUCUUUGGUAAAAGCUGUCAUUUGUGUUGAUUUGUAUGUAUUCCUUCUCGACGGCAAAGGGAAACCGGACGGUUAAGGGAUGCAUUCAAUGUUGCCAUUGACAACCUUCUUAAUUACCCACCCUUCCAUGUUUCUUCAUUCAAUGAAUAUCUUUUUUCUUCCAGUCGGUGAAUCUUCUGCUAUAAAAGGUGAGUUUGGAACCCGUGAACAUCAUCAUUUCAUUCCACACAACCAUAAAAAAAAUUCUUUGAGCAGAAUGUGAAAGAAGAAGGAAGAGAGGCGUACAUGAGUCUCACUGGAAGAGCCUAAGCUUGAUGGUCCAAGUUCGCCAGAAAAUAAAUUGGAAGCUCAGGUCUCGAACCUUGAUUUGGUUGGUCAGACUGUUGUUCUCAAAGAAGUCGACGAGAGUUACAGGUCGGGAUCGACAUCUGAGUCAAAUCUAGAAAGGAGAGCUUUGAUCGAUUAAGGAGGUAUGAGUGAGAUUCGCGAAUCUCUCUCAAGCUGACUCAACCAAAUAUGGAUGUGCUUACCACAGAGAUAAAAUCGUCGGAGGAAUACAAAAAUUAGCGAUGGGAGACACAUCGGGAUCGACUGGAUUUUUAACCAUCCGGUAAGUCGGGCCUCUAUAGAAACGGAGUCGCUGAUAUUGUCAUCGCAACAAAAUCAGAUAAGGAAUAAGAAGCUUAGCUUAAUUCAAUCUCAGAUGGAGACUAAAGAUUGUUGGAGAUGAUUAGAUUUGGAGUUCUGUUGAGACAAAACAGUGGCAACGGAUUUGGUGCUAGGAUGAGCUUGGAGGUUAACGAAGAUGAGGAAAAGAUUAGGUAUGAAGAAUAGAGGAAGACGAUUGCUCAAAAAAAAAAAAGAAUAGAGGAAGACAAAGGAGAUUUUGUUUGAUUCUUGGUGUCGAAAGAGAAAAAAAAAUUAGGUUAGAGUUGGUCAGGUGACUGUUAGUGGGCCUCGGCUCUAGCUUUAUUACAUCAGCCCACUCGAAAGCCCACUUCUAGAUACCUGCACAAAGACGAGUUUGUUAAUUUUGUACGUGAAAAUAGAAAAAUAUGAUGCAAGUCAUACGAGUUUACGAACUUUAAAAGAUAUAUGUUUCUCUUUAAAAGAUAUUUAAAACAUAUAGGUCGUACUUUCAUAAAGCACAUAUAUGUCUCUCUUUAAAAGAUAUUUAAAACAGGUUCACAUUUCAUCAAAUCAAAGUCUACGGAAAUUUUAAAUAAGUGAAUAUGUCAGUUUUCUUUUAAAUCAUUAAAAUCAAACCAACAAAAUAUUAAGAAAAACCACAACAGAUAAUUGGAAAACAUAUAAACUAGAUAUAACAAAAAAAAACAUAAGAACAAAAAAAAGAAAAAAGUUUGUAUUAAUAUAAACAAAAAGAUUUAUUCAAAUAAAUGUGUUAAAAAAACUCAUGAAUUCCAAAACAAAAUUAACCAUAGAUUCUAUACUGAUAUAAUCAUAAUUUUUUUAUAUAUUUGCAUGGCCAGAAGUAUAGAUGUAAUACAAAAAAAAUGACAAAAUAAAUAAAAGUAUAAAUAAAUUAAGAUAACCUAAAACAAAACGAAUCAAUAGAUAUAUAUGCAACACCAAAAUAAGUUUAAUUAUAAAAUUUAGUUAAUAGCAACAAGAUUGGAUUGAGUUCCUGACAUUAAACAAUAUUAACACAUAAAAUAAAAAAUAAAACAUCAAUUAUAAAAACAAAAAUAAUAAGAAAAUUAUUCCCGCGCGUAGGUCCAUUAAAAAUAUAUAUUUGAAAUUUUGAAAUUGCUUUUGGAGAUGUUCUUAACACGAAACAAUUGUUUUUGAUUCGUACUCCAUUAUAUGUUCAUCUCUUAAAUAAUAAUAACAGAGUUGGUCAGGUGACUGUUAGUGGGCCUCGGCUCUAGCUUUAUUACAUCAGCCCACUCGAAAGCCCACUUCUAGAUACCUGCACAAAGACGAGUUUGUUAAUUUUGUACGUGAAAAUAGAAAAAUAUGAUGCAAGUCAUACGAGUUUACGAACUUUAAAAGAUAUAUGUUUCUCUUUAAAAGAUAUUUAAAACAUAUAGGUCGUACUUUCAUAAAGCACAUAUAUGUCUCUCUUUAAAAGAUAUUUAAAACAGGUUCACAUUUCAUCAAAUCAAAGUCUACGGAAAUUUUAAAUAAGUGAAUAUGUCAGUUUUCUUUUAAAUCAUUAAAAUCAAACCAACAAAAUAUUAAGAAAAACCACAACAGAUAAUUGGAAAACAUAUAAACUAGAUAUAACAAAAAAAAACAUAAGAACAAAAAAAAGAAAAAAGUUUGUAUUAAUAUAAACAAAAAGAUUUAUUCAAAUUGUUGGGACUUAGAAAUUUUAUUAAUUUAUAGAAAUAUUAAUUUACAAAAUUUUCUUUAUUUAGAUUAUUAUUUUAAGGUAUAUUUAUUUUAAGAUAAGAAAAACAUUUGAUUUUAGUGUAUAGACAUUAAUUGUUAUUUUUUAAAAAAUUUGACAUUUAUAUUAAUUUUAUUAUAUUAUUUGGGGUAUAUAAUAUAUAUUGCAUAGAAGAACUUAAAUGUGGUUUUAGAUAUAAUAUUACUAAAUGGGAUUGAGUUCCUGAAAUUAAACAAUUUUAACACAUAAAAUAAAAAAAUAUAACAAAAGUUAUAAAAACAAAAAUAAUAAGAAAAUUAUUCCCGCGCGUAGCUCGAAAUGUUAAGAAAAUAUAAAAAUAAUUCUAUUGUGAAUAUAAAACUAACAAUAUAAUAAUAGGUUCUUAGUUAUAUAAAAUAUGUAUACAUAUAAAUUAUUAAUUUAUAAUUUUAAUGGGACCAUAUAUUAAUAUAGAAUUUUCUAAAAAAUUAUUAAGUUCUUGUUAUGAUUCCGUUUGUUGGGUUUUCGAUCACCUCCUUUCGCCUUCUUUACCUCCAUCGAAACGAGAAAGUUUCCAGAUCCAUCACAUUAAACAUGUUAUUAACUACUUUAGCCACGAUCUACACUUCAAUGUGUGUGAAUCUUCUUAGAGGCCGUGUAUAAAAACAAAUGCUUUCCUCUUCUCAAAACCAUCAUCUCUCUCUCUUUCUCUCUCUCCUUGGAGGGUUUCUCUGAGAUUCUAAGUUUUAGGUGUUGUUGUACAGAAUUGUAACUGUUUAUGUAUCUGACCGGGAGCAUUCAGAGCUAGAUGCGGCGGUGUUGGGCCGUUCCACGAAGCAACAGGUCUUGAAUCGCUUCAUCUCGACGGCUGCAUUUUCGGCAACUAACGAUGCUAACUCCCGAGAAACCCGGUGGUGGUUUCAGGUCGUUGCUUGAGCUUCCACCUACACAAGCAGUGGAGCUUCUCCAUAGGGCGGGCCGAUCUUAGUUUCCUAUAUUUUCAUGCGAAUUUAUGACAAAAUAUAUUCUGCAUUGGUUAUACUUAUGUUCUGUUUUUUUUUUGUCUGCAAGCUAAAGAUUUAUGUUGUUCAUAUUUACGGUUUGAUAUGAUAAAAUAUUUAUGGAGUUAUUUAAGGUAUUUUCUGAUCUCAUAUUGAUAACAUUAACAUAUAUACAUAUACAUAUAUAUAUAUAUAUAUAUCUCUGAUUCGUCGUCAUCUUUUUUCCAAGCACUGGCCGGUACCGGAAUCGGUUUAGAUAUCUCUCCACCGCAGCUUCUGGACAUUGACUUUUCCUUCUAACUCAGCCCUCUUGGAGCGAGCAGCUCACUUCUCGGUACAUGUACGAACGCACCACUGAGAAGCUUGCAGACGAUGAAGAAGCCGAGACGCUCUUGUGGCGUUUGCUGAGUUUGAAGAGCAAUGCAAGGAGCCGGAACGUGCUAGGUUUAUCUACAAGUUUUCUCUUGAUCAUAUUCCUACAUGGAGAGCUGAUGAUUUGUAUAAAAAGUUUGUGGCAUUUGAGAAACAGUAUGGUGGUAAGGAAGAGAUUGAGGACGCCACUGCUGGGAAGAGGAGGUUUCAGUAUGAAGAUGAAGUGAGGAAGAACCCUUUGAACUAUGAUUCUUGGUUUGAUUACGUUAGGCUUGAAGAACCGUGGGGAACAAAGAUAGGGUAAGAGAGAGAUCUAUGAUAGGGAUAUUGCUAAUAUGUCACCUGCUGAAGAGAAAUGAUACUAGCAAAAAUACAUUUUUCUCUGGUGAAUUUAUUCCUUUUCAGUUUGGUUUUGGCAAUAAUGCAUAAUCGAUUUAGCUAGAAUUGGAAUGUUGCCUUCUUAUGUAGUUAUGUGAAUCAUGCUUUGGAUAAGAAAGUUAACUUUUUAAACUGAGUUGUUAGAGUUUGAUCAUGGUUUGCAUAAGUAUUUCUUUAACAGUGAAAGCUAUUGUUGUUUGUCUUUUAUUAACAUAUUUGGUUCUGCGAUUUUAACUAUAAUGCAGAAUUCUUUUAGAAUGUUGGGUUCAUGGUUUGCGUAAGAUGUUGAUCAUACUACGCAUAAGAAGGUUAAUAUGGGUUUGGGUGUGGUUGAUUUAGUCAGAUAUUAGCUCUUAUUGAGUUUUAAGCUGCACAUUCAGGUCAGAAAUUGAUCUAUUGAAACAGAUUGUUGCAUUCUGUGGAAAGCUAUUGUUGUUUUUUUCUUGAAACAAGUGGAAAGCUAUUGUUGUUUGUUUGUCUUUUAUUAGCAUAUUUUGUUCUGCGAUUUACUGAAACAUUGACACUGAUAUAACUGAUUGGUGUAGGGUUAACUAUGCAUUGUAUGGAGAGACUGAAACAGAAGAUGUAUACAGGUACGCCAAAGCCUACCUGUUAUGAAACUUGUGAAGUUACUUUCAUUUGUGUUUCACUCUAGCAUUUUAGUUUGACUGUCUGUAUUCGUCUUACCAAACAUUACAGAUAAUGUCUCGAGCUUAUCUCCCACUCCAAAUUUUCCUUUGUCAAAAUAUGGUUGCUUGCUGCUCAGAUAUGUGGAAACGCUAUUAGGAAAUCUCCAAAAAAAGAUAAGGUAAGCAUAAAAUGUGUUUGAACGUUAUAUGUUUCAUUGCUCUCAUUUAACAUACUUACUUUUGGUUAUAUUGAGUGGUCUACAGAGAAUUGCUAUGCUUGGAGAAAAUACGCUGAGCUAGAGAGGUCUCUUGCUGAGACUGAACGAUCUAGAGUUAUCUUUGAGCUUGCAAUAUCUCAGCCAGCACUUGACAUACCCGAACUGCUAUGGAAGGUAAAAUAUUCUGUCCAACAGAUUCAACGAAGUAAAAUAUUCCUCAGACUUUUGAAUCGAUUGGAUCAUUGAAACGCUAUAUUUUUCUGUGUGGCAGGCGUACAUAGAUUUUGAGAUAGCAUAAGGAGAAUUAGAGAGGACACGAGCUUUAUAUGAGCGACUCUUGGACCCGCACAAAGCAUUACAAGGUGUGGCGGUGUGGGUUAGUUUUGCAAAUUUUGAAGCUUCUGCUGCGGAACAAGAAGAAGACUAGGAAGAGGAAGACCAAGAAGAAAUAGAUGCUAUUGAACUCAAGAAAGAGUGCAUCAGACGUGUCAGAGGUAACUUUAAAACUACAUGUUAUGUGAAUUUUGAUUAUAACCGUGAGACAUGUUUUAACUGUUUUUCUCUCUCUCUCUAUUUUCUUUCUUCUGCUCAGCUAUUUUCGAGAGAGCAACCAGCUACUACAAAGACUCUGCACCAGAGUUGAAAGAAGCAUGAGCUACACUAUUGGAAGAUUGGCUUAACAUGGAGAAAAACUUUGGUAAUCUCGGGGAUGUGAGUGUGGUACAAUCUAAGCUCCCGAAGAAGCUCAGGAAAAGAAAUUAAACCAAUCACUAGAGAUGAUGGGUCUACAGAGUACGUUUUUCAGUACAUAUAUCAUUUCUCAAGUUUGAUAUCUUUUGAUUUUGAUGAUCGAAGGCUUAUUGUGAACAUUUUGUUGGAAUCUUUUGCAGGUAUGAAGGGUACAUUGAUUACCUAUAUCCAGAAGAAUCACAGACAACAAAUCUCAAGAUUCUUGAAGCUGCUUACAAGUGGAAGAAGCAGAAGCUUGCAGCUUCUGAGGAGGAUUGCGAUUAUUACCAAGUUUCUUUUAAGUUAUAUCAAAAAUGUGAGUUGAUGUUUUGUAUACUUUCUUAGUUCUCUGUACAUUGCCACUCAUCAUUUAUGAUUAUGCUGUUAUCUUUUUGUUUGUGUUAGCAAAAAAAAAAUCGAUGUUAUUUUAGUUCGGUUUGGCAUUAGACCUUUAGGUUUUCUUUUUUCGAUUUAGAAAAUAUGGGACAAUCAGGAGUCUAAAUUCCGUUUAUUAUUUCUGAUUUUUUUUGGGUUUGUGAGUGGUGAAACUUAAAAGGGAAAUGCACCCUCAAGCUGAAGCCGGUGAAUUUUUUUUUGUAAUUAUUAAUCCACCAGUUUAAAAAGGAAAGAAUAUACAACUAAUUUUCUUGGAUUGUAAGACCAUGAUUAACCCGGAUUCUUAAGGUGAAGUUCUUAGCUUCGGUUAAGAACUGUUUCUUAGCUUUUAAGUAAGAAAAGCUAAGAACUGACUCUUAGAUAAGAGAUAUAAGAGUCGGUUUUUAGCCGAAAAGUAUAAAAAAAAUAAAAAAACAAAAAAAUGUCAAAUCAUAAGUUAAGAACCCCAAAUUAAGAACCCGGUUUAAUCAUGCUCUUAGUGGUGAACCAAAAAGCAUGAGAACAUGACAUGAAAACCCUAUCCGUGUGAAUAAAACACACAAAAAAGAGAAAAAAAAAUGAAAUAGAAUUCUUAAAUGGAAAAAUCCAUGGAUUCAUAAUUGUAUUUUGAGUGAAGAUUUAGGAUUAGGUAUAAUGAUGUGGGAUCAGUGUAUGUUGAUUGGUUUCUUAAUUAGUACUAUGACUUAACCUACAUUUAUCGCAGUUUUAUUUAAUUUUGAUCUAAAAUUUAAAACUUUGUAUGAAAAUUGUUGUAAGUGUAUAGAGUUUUAUCAAAUAUGGAAUUCAUUAUAAAUAAAUUUGUGGUAUGCAUUUCAUUUAACAUAAUAUAUGCAUUUAACAUAAUAUUUGCGUUUCAUAACACUUGGUAUGAAUUUGAUUGAAUUCACUCACUUUUUUGUGUGUUUGUGGUUUUGAUGAUGAGUUAAGGUAGCUGAGGUAGCUGAGAAAGGACAUGUUAAACCUUCAAAUUAUUUUGAUUUCCAUGGGAAUAUUAUUAUAGGUAUUGUAACUAAAGAAGGUAUUUUUUCCCAUGCUAAAUGAUUCAGUGAACUCUCUCUGUAAAUUGUUUGGUGUUUUUUUUAACUUUUAAUACUGACUCAGUUUUUCUUUCAUGAACUCCUGGAAUCAAAGGUAGUCAAUAUUUUGAUGUUGUAACAAAUCUUAACAUCCUCAAAAAGAUUUGAAUGCUUCAAGGCUAAUAGACUAAAAGUAGAAUUUUAGAUAUUGAUUUUUAGCAUGAAUCUUUCUAUAACUAUAACACUCCAACCAAGAUGACUUUAUAUAGCUAAAUUGUCACACAAUAUACUGUGUCACAAAUACAAAUUUCAUCAGAUCUUUAACCUCAGGAAAUUAGUCAUCCCACAUAAAAACAGAGACAACAUUCCGCGCGAAACGCGGACCGACCUUAGUAUUUAUAAAUAAUAAUGCCUUCAAUGUGACACGUAUAUGUUAGUGGCAAAGUAUUAUGGCUUUGUUGAUUUUAAUUGAACUUAUACUUGUAUUCAUUGUGAAUAAUGUUUUGUUUGAUGCCACGGUUUAUCUUAUGCCCAGAGAAUUCUCAGAGAAUUCUGGUUGUAUGUGUUGUGUCCUAUAAAAAUACACGGGUUUGUUACAAAUAUUUCUGGAGAUAAUAUGGAUCAAUUAAAGCAUGUCAAACCUAAUUUUAAUCUUCCCAAUAUAAUGAAUAUGUUUUUGAUUAGGUUGGGUUGCUGUGUCUUUGUUACUGAUGCUAUUUCUAUGUUUUUGUUCUAAUUAUUGGCUUUGUAAUGCAUGGAAAACAUGUUUACAUUUACAACUGAUAUCAAGGCCAAAAGUUUCUUGCGAAAGAACAGAGGAGAAAUAAGUUACAACGACUGUUGUAAUGUCAAAAGGAAAAAGAAUUAAAUGAUGUACUCCUUCCGUUUCAUAUUAAGUAUCAUUGUAGAAAAAAAUUUCAAUGCAAAAUUUAUUAAUUUUAUUUAGCAAUUUAUUUUUCUAUUGAUUUAAAUAGGGGAAAUUGACAAUAUAGAACAACUAAACUAAGGUAUUGUCCCCUUAGAACAAAAUCAACUUUUGUCACUUUUGUACAUUCACUACCAUUUUUGUAUAUAAAAAUUCAUAUCAAUUUUUUUAAAAUGCAAAAAAAUUGGAAAAAUUGUAUAUUUGAUGUAGAUAAGCAAUUUCAUAUAAGAAAAAUAAAUUUGGAUUCAAAAAAUGUUUGAAUAGUAAUUUCAAAAAUGGGGUAAAGUUGUUAGAAAAUCAGAUCUACCAUCUACUGAGGUUUAGAAUAUAUAAUCUAACAAAGACAUAGUGAUCUACCAGUCGUAGCAUGCACAAUACACCGAAAACAUUAACAACUGCUAGGGAAGAAUAUAAAAUCCUCAUUCCCUUUAUGCUCUACGUAACUGGUAGAUUUGAUGCGCUACAAAAACUAAUUAAUCUACUAAAGUAGGAAAUGCAUUAUUCGAAUUGUCUUUUUGUCUACACCGGUGGCAUACAAUAUUCUACCAGGCCUUCUAAUUUCUAAACAGAUAGAAUGCAAAUUCUACCUAAUAAAAUUACAAAAUCCGAAAAUCUAGCAAAAAACGGUUAGGAAAUAUUCAGUAAAUCUUUUAAAUGUUUUUAAUUUCCUUUUUUUAAUUUUUUUUCCUAAAAUCUUGUCUUCUUCUUCAACAUACCACGAUUUCUGAAAUUCAAAAGUUUUCUUCAUUUUUUAGCUCUUCCAAACUUUUGUCAUUCUAAAAUAUGAAAAUUAACAUAUAUGCUUCAUGUGGUUUGUGGAAACCGUCGAUGAACAAUGGAUGGGGAUUUCUUGUUGAUGAAGAAAAAGGAGGCAGGUUACUUACUUUGGACACAAGUUCAAGUUUUGAAAACCUAAAGGCUAUGGUGUGUGAAGACUUUGGAAUUGAUGUAAACAUGGUCAAUAUAGAGCUGAGUUAUUUACCUUCCGAUUUGAUCAAUAGCAUCUACUCACCCCCUGUUAUCAUCACCAGUGAUCGGCAAGUUAGAAAUUUUCUUACAUAUGUAAAGAACAAAACUUCGAUGCAGUUAUGUGUGAGUACUCAAGCCUCUAACAUAGCGGAAGAAGGUACUGAGUCGCCUAACAGCGAGGAAGCGCCUAUGGAGUCGACGAUUCAAGUGAUAUGGAGUCUGACGAUGCAGCUGAUAUGGAUUCAGAAGAAGAUGUUGAGGUAUCUGACAGUGAAGAUGACAAAAAGUGUGACAAAGAGAAGAUCAAUGAAGAUGGUGUUCGCUUUUCUUUGGUGGAUGUUGUGAAGAAGGGUCAAUCUUGUAGUUCCAAAACACUUUUGAAGGCAGAAUUCGAAAUAUGUGCAAUAAAACAUAAUUUCGACUACGUGGUUGCCAGAUCGGAUAAAAAAAGUGUGGUACAUUCGUUGCUCAUAUGAUGAUUGCACAUGGCGUGUUCGUGCAGAAGGAUUAACAGGCUCAUCGUAUUUUAUCAUCAAAAAGUUUUUUUUAAUUUUUUUUCCUAAAAUCUUGUCUUCUUCUUCAACAUACCACGAUUUCUGAAAUUCAAAAGUUUUCUUCAUUUUUUAGCUCUUCCAAACUUUUGUCAUUCUAAAAUAUGAAAAUUAACAUAUAUGCUUCAUGUGGUUUGUGGAAACCGUCGAUGAACAAUGGAUGGGGAUUUCUUGUUGAUGAAGAAAAAGGAGGCAGGUUACUUACUUUGGACACAAGUUCAAGUUUUGAAAACCUAAAGGCUAUGGUGUGUGAAGACUUUGGAAUUGAUGUAAACAUGGUCAAUAUAGAGCUGAGUUAUUUACCUUCCGAUUUGAUCAAUAGCAUCUACUCACCCCCUGUUAUCAUCACCAGUGAUCGGCAAGUUAGAAAUUUUCUUACAUAUGUAAAGAACAAAGCUUCGACGCAGUUGUGUGUGAGUACUCAAGCCUCUAACAUAGCGGAAGAAGGUACUGAGUCGCCUAACAGAGAGGAAGAGCCUAUGGAGUCUGACGAUUCAAGUGAUAUGGAGUCUGACGAUGCAGCUGAUAUGGAUUCAGAAGAAGAUGUUGAGGUACCUGACAGUGAAGAUGACAAAAAGUGUGACAAAGAGAAGAUCAAUGAAGAUGGUGUUCGCUUUUCUUUGGUGGAUGUUGUGAAGAAGGGUCAAUCUUUUAGUUCCAAAACACUUUUGAAGGCAGCAUUCGAAAUAUGUGCAAUGAAACAUAAUUUCGACUACGUGGUUGCCAGAUCGGAUAAAAAAGUGUGGUACAUUCGUUGCUCAUAUGAUGAUUGCACAUGGCGUGUUCGUGCAGAGGGAUUAACAGGCUCAUCGUAUUUUAUCAUCAAAAAGUAUGUACCUGAUCAUUCAUGUGCUGCAUCCAAUAGGAAGGGUUCUGUUAGGACAGUUUCAGCAAAAACAGUGGAUACUCUGAUUAUGCAUAAGUAUGAAACUGCUAAAGAAGGGCCGAGAUUGAAUGAUAUAAUCCAGUAUAUGCGUAUGGUACAUGGAGUUGAGAUAUCCUAUUCUUUGGUGUGGGAUGCACGUGAAUAUGCAAUCAACGCAGUGAAAGGUAUUCCAGAGAAAGGUUAUGAAAAAAAUCCUAAAUACUUGCAUAUAAUGAAGGAAGCUAAUCCAGGGUCACACACGUUUUAUGAAAGGGAUACAAAAGGGAGAUUCAAAUUCCUCUUCAUCUACUUCGAUGCAGUUAUGUGUGAGUACUCAAGCCUCUAACAUAGCGGAAGAAGGUACUGAGUCGCCUAACAGCGAGGAAGCGCCUAUGGAGUCGACGAUUCAAGUGAUAUGGAGUCUGACGAUGCAGCUGAUAUGGAUUCAGAAGAAGAUGUUGAGGUAUCUGACAGUGAAGAUGACAAAAAGUGUGACAAAGAGAAGAUCAAUGAAGAUGGUGUUCGCUUUUCUUUGGUGGAUGUUGUGAAGAAGGGUCAAUCUUGUAGUUCCAAAACACUUUUGAAGGCAGAAUUCGAAAUAUGUGCAAUAAAACAUAAUUUCGACUACGUGGUUGCCAGAUCGGAUAAAAAAAGUGUGGUACAUUCGUUGCUCAUAUGAUGAUUGCACAUGGCGUGUUCGUGCAGAAGGAUUAACAGGCUCAUCGUAUUUUAUCAUCAAAAAGUAUGUACCUGAUCAUUCAUGUGCUGCAUCCAAUAGGAAGGGUUCUGUUAGGACAGUUUCAGCAAAAACAGUGGAUACUCUGAUUAUGCAUAAGUAUGAAACUGCUAAAGAAGGGCCGAGAUUGAAUGAUAUAAUCCAGUAUAUGCGUAUGGUACAUGGAGUUGAGAUAUCCUAUUCUUUGGUGUGGGAUGCACGUGAAUAUGCAAUCAACGCAGUGAAAGGUAUUCCAGAGAAAGGUUAUGAAAAAAAUCCUAAAUACUUGCAUAUAAUGAAGGAAGCUAAUCCAGGGUCACACACGUUUUAUGAAAGGGAUACAAAAGGGAGAUUCAAAUUCCUCUUCAUCUCAUUUGGUCAGAGUGUUUGCGGUUUCUAUGUUGCAAUUCGAAAAGUUAUUGUGGUGGAUGGGACGUUUUUGAAGAGCAAAUAUAAAGGAGUAUUACUAGUUGCUACUUCAUUAGAUGGAAACUCGAGUUUAUAUCCUAUUGAUGCAAGCAGCUCAUCAUACGCGAAGACCCCAAGGAUAUAUCCUCAUUUUCUCAAAAUCCAUCACCAAACGGAUGAACUCGUGAGGGAUAAACACUCUCAAAUCCUUAGCAAUGACGAAUCCAUGUAUAAUACACAGAUACACUAGCCUCACUCUGUCCACAUACGUCCACUCGUUACAGACUUUAAGGAGCUCAUCCCUUAUAAUCAAUAAGUUGACCUUUCUAUUUUCCUUCAGCACCGUGCUCCAGAACCCCUUAUCACUCUUCAAGUUAUUGAAGUCUAUGUCGGGUUCUUCUUUGAACUUCAAUCCAGUCGCAACAUAAAAUUUUUGCAUAGAAAACCUGUGAGGCCUCUUUGCAAAUAGAAACCAUAACUCGUGAAGCUUCUAAACCUUGAGCUGCUUGCAUAUGAAGCUGUGAAUAAUCUUCCCUGAGUAAAUGAGCUUGUUCUCUACGAUUGCCAAAAUCGGACCGAAGACAGGAUCUUUCAAAACUUCUUGAUACUCAUCCUUGAGAACAACCUUCAACGUCUCCAGAAUGGUGCGUCUACAUGUGUUGUUAAUCUUAUCCAUCUUGGUCUCAACUCCUUCUUCAAGAAUGCGUUUUGGAAACUGGUAAUCCAUUCCUGUAAAACAUUAAAUCAAACUCCUUAGUCUUUUCAAGUUCAUUACGAAUUCAAAACACAAUACAAAGCCGAUACCAAAGAAAAUAGAAUUCAAAAGCAACUCAAAAAUAAGCUACAAUCAACUCAACCCACACACUACAAUCAAAACCAUAAGUGAAUCGAUUUGUGUUUUUAAACAAUUCAAGCUCUUUCUACUACAUGCACACAAACAAAAACGAACAAAAAGAAAAAAAUAAUCAUAAAGGGGAUUUCAAAACUCUAACCUUCAAGUUUUGGGAAACUGAGAUGAAGGAAGAUCAAAAGAAGAACAAUAUGAAGCCAAUCGUCCUUUAUCAGCGAGAAGAAGCUACUCCAGAGCUUGAAUAGCUCUUAUCGGUAUCGGCGGAGAUAACAAAGUGAUUGUAAUCGAUGGUUCUCAAAGAAGAAAGAUGACAGAAGGAGGACGAAGGAGAGAUCUGACGACGAUCGUCGUUUCCGACGAACGUAGACGGCCAAGAGAGAAAGCGUUGACGGCGUUUUGAAAUCACAUACACCAGAGUCAGCGACGAAGAAAGUUCUGAUUUUUUUACUUCCUACAUUUUUUUUUACUUCCUACAUUUUUUUUUACUUCUUACAUUUUCAGUAAAGUUAAAAUGUUAAUCUCAUUAACGGUAUUUUAGUAAAAAGGACAAAACAUGUUUUUCUUAUUUUUUUAUUCUAAAGGGACAAUGAUUAGGAUUUUUAUUUUAAGGGGACAAAAGUAUACUUUUUUUGUUCGUUAUCGGCAAAUUUCCCAUUUAAAUAUGAUUAGGUGUAGGUAAUGUGUUUUUAUAUAAAAAUAUACAGAAUUAAUUGUGUUUUUUAUCUGUGUGCACAAACCCAAAACAACGCUUAAAAUGGAACGUGAGGAGUAUUAUGUUGCAGUGUAAAUAGCACUAAAUGUUGUAAUUAAUUUAAUGUAAUAUUUCGUAACGUCUAUACUCCAAAAGUUGGUCGAAUUAGAUAAUGCAAUGGUAUUUUUUGUAAUCCGUCUAGUAAGCUAAGGGUAAUUUAACUCGGACUGUGAGAAGAGCUGAAGUGCUGACACCUAAGCAUACUAAGAAAAAUCACAACUUAAAAAUGUUUAUCUUUUAAUAUAUAAAAGAUUAGUGGAUUAACACAUUUAAAAGUAUGAUAAAAUUAAACUGGUGUAAUGUGUGCGACUGGGAUGAUGCGGCAGGAAGGGCAAGUAGAGCCUAACCGAAACCACUUGUCAAUGCAAAAAGCGUGAAACUCAUGUCCGCACAGUGGCAACACUGGUACCAUGUCAUUGUCACCUGCCACGUAAUCUUCAAGACAUAUCACACAUCUACAUGACCUCACAAAAACACAUGAUUCCGACGACAAUGUCCCUUUUGGGAGAGACCUCCCAAUCUCCUUAUUCAAUGGUUUUAGUUUUUGCUUAAGUACCCUACGCCUCGAGUAGUGCAAUAGGACGAAGUAAAAGAUCAUCACGAUUAGAAGAUAGAGUGGGAACGCAUCUGUUGACUUAAAGAAAUCUGUGAUCGUUAGCUCAGUAAAAUUUGCUUCUGUGGCUGUUGGCGAAAUAGCCAAGAGCAGAGCCGAUCAUGGGCCAAGCCGGCCGGAUGAAACAUAUUCGCUUUAAGCUCCUAAAUUUUUUGAAAAAAGUUAUAUAUUAAUAAGUUUUGAAAUUUGUAAAACAAAAAAAUUUAGACUUCUAAAUUAUUGAAAUCCUUCUUAAACCGUUUAUAACCCCAAAAAUCUCAGGGGCAGCCCAAGAGAAGAGAAGGAGGAGGAUAAGUCAUGAGUGAGAGUCUCCUCUCCAACAGGUUUGAUCAAAGAAUUAUGAAGCUUUUGAUAAAGCAACGAUUGAAGUCAUUAGGGCAUGCAUAAUGUAUUUGAUAUUUUUUUGUUACAGUUUAAAUACAUAUGUUGUAUUUCACUAUGCCAUUAAUCUUUAUUUUGCAUAAUUUUUAUCGGAUUUUAAUUCCAAGACCAACUUAGGAAGGGAAGUUUCAUCAUGCAUAAGAACGCAAUUUUUGUAUUUAUUUUUUUUGUAACUGAAGCAAUUUUUGUAUAUAUGUUACGUAAACUCUAUACCGUAGAGUAAAGAGACCAUUAAUAAACACAUUUUAUAUUUUGAAAUCUCUACCUCCAAUCAAUCUUCUUUGAGUCCAUGUUCACAUAGCUUUUUUUCUUAAACAAAGAUUACUAAUUUAAAUCCUAAAUAAUGAAUGUGUUUAUAUACGCAUGUCUACUUCUUUGUAGAAUAUAAACUGAAACUGUGACGUGACGUGAGAGUGCAUACCUUAUCAUAAGCGUUCUGUAUAGUGGGAAUGUACUUAUCAAUUAUCAUAAGCGUUCGGCGUUCCAUAUAGUGCCCAUAUAGUGGGAAUGUACUCAUUAUUUUUGAUGUUGUCUCAAUAGGCUCUUCGCGUUUUCAUCAACAAUUUUGAAUCUAGGACUUUAAUGGGGUCUUCAAUGGUCACCGAUCUAUCUUAAAACGGUGUGAAAAUUUUCAAUCAUCACUUCAUUCACAACCAUAGCUUUAUAUACCUUAGAUUCGGGUAGAUCAAAAAAGUUUGGGAAUUAUCUCAAUCUUUUUUUUUUUUUUGAAAAAAAAUUAUCUCAAUCUUAGAAGAGAAGUUAGGAUUAUAUGAAAUUUUUUGAAAUAUAUAUACGAUUUUAGAGAAACUCAUACGUUAGAUUAGCUUGAUGGACAUGAGUCAGUGAGAAUAAAAAAAAAUGGAGAUGUGAUAAAGGAAAAUAGGUAAGAAGAGAGUGACAAAUAUAAUCUGGAAUGAUUAAUCCUGUCUAGUGUUGUAAUUAAAUCGGCAAUGAGCUUUCCACACAAAUAUGAAAAGAGAUUUUUGGAAAAGAAAAAUCGAACCCCUUUAAUACACACCAAAAGGCCAAAAAAUUAUGUUGAACCCCAUAAUUUUAAUCUCGAAAAAUUAAUGUUUCAUCAUGUUUUAUGAUAUUAUGGAAUAUGGUAGCCAACUUAUCUUAUAUUUAUGUAUGUCAUAUAUUUAGUCUUUUUUUAACGAUAGAUUGUACUAUUAAGCCUUUUAGGCAAAAAUUUCUAAACUGUGAGAACUAUCGAAAAAAUGUAGAAAAAUAUAUCCUAGUAAUAAUUCAAAGUAAAUUAACACACAUAUAUUUUGCGUAUGGAUGACUAAAAAAGUUUCAUAUAAAAGUUCUAUAUUGCUUUUAGAAUAGUUGAAUCCAAUGUUCGGAAUCGCGCUAGGCGUGAGUUGGGCGGUCGGCAUACGCCUAGCGAGUUGAUAGAAAAUCGGAGACUAAUCGAAGAGUAAUCGGGGAUUAAUUUUACACUUUUAUACGUAUAAAUAUCAGUGAAUGAUAAAUAAUUCAUGAAAACACGGUGGGGGAGAUGGUAAUUACUAUCCCUUAUUUACCAAAGAACCCGAGUUUGAGUCCUCAACCCCACGUGUUUCUUUAUUUCGCUUUUUCUAUUAAUGAGGGUUAAAAUGGUCAAUUCGGUUUUAUCUCCCUCCAUCUAAACCUGCGAUUUUCUGAUUGUAAAAAUGGUGUCUUCUAUAAUUUUCUCAGAUCUUUCAUUAUUUUCCAUCAUUUUUCACUUAAUCUAGUUAAAACUUAAUAGGUCUAACAAAUAUAAACCUAUUUCAACAUAAAACUGAACAAAAAAGUGGUUUUUUUAGUGGCUCUGAUUUAUCAACCGAACUGACCCUAACCGCUACGGUGAAGAGUCGCCUAGCGCUUCCACGCCGAGAAUCCGGGCGCCUAAACCGCGUUUUCGAACACGGGUUGAAUAUCAAGGGAGGUAAUCUUCGUAUUAAUCCAAAAAUACCACGCUUCAGACUGAAUUGAAAAUGAUAGCCACUCUCUUUUUAAUACUCCAGUAGGAGUCACCGAGACAAGAUAAAUAUUUAUAUUGCUUUAUUGAUAAUAACAUAGUCAAAGAGAUUACCGUUCCAUAAAAUUUCAUGAUGCUUUUCGAAGUAACCAUACUUUGCAGCAAGAACCAUCACCAUCGAAUGAAUAAUCAUCAACGAGUGAAACCAGUAAGACUCAUCGCCACCAUCUGUAACAGAUCUGUCAAUUAGUUUUCCUAAAAGCUUCAAUUGAACCAAAAUUUUUGUAUUACCAAAUCUAUUUGAAGAAACAUAUAAAAGAACAAUAAAAAAAAAUAUUUAAAAUAAAUUGACAAUUAAACAAAUUAAAUGACCGGAAAUAAAGCAAAUUAAAGAAAAUGAAGCAAAACAAAUCAAAAAGCUGAUGUCGGAGUUAUAGAAGCAAAGCUCUGGCCAUCGGAAAACUAUAAAAAAAAAAAAAACUUUUUCUUUCUCACGGCUAGAGUUUUUGUGUCUUGGUUGUAAAAAAUAGUCUUGACCAUAUAUUUAGUCUUGCAAUGAAAUUGCAACUCAGAGAAUUAACACAGAGUAGCAACAUAUAUUUCGUACUUCGGGGUAAAAUUUUACCAAAAAAUGCAAAAGGUAAAAGACGAUAUAGGUCGUUGUGGUAACUGGUAACUAUAAUUAAAUUCAAAAGGUUCAUCAUAGUGGUUUUUUAAUUUAUAAUUUUAUGUAGAAAUUGAGAUUCCCGAAUAAUAAAAACCAAGUUAACUGGACAAGCAAAAAGUUCUCAGACACAUUUCACGAGAAAGGUCUUUAGAAAGUUGACUUUUCGCGCCACCUUCUUUUAACAGUUAGACAUUUCCUCUUUUGAACCUCUGUUUCUCGGAAAAAAGAGCAUCUUUUCAAAUUUUUUUCCGUUUAGAGGUUUAUCCAGUGGUUACUCCGCAGAACCGCCGCGUGCAGAACGAACCGCCGGGUUCACUCCCCCGACUUGGGUCGGCGGGACCGCCAUGCCACACGAAGACACGCCGACGAUGAAGCUCUACUGCUGCUACUCCUAAAACUCUCAACCUCUUCUAGCAACGAGAUUUAGAAGAAAGAGACCCGCUGAAGUAGUUAACAAACAAAUCUACAACCAGUAAGACGUUUGGCCAACUUGACUCUACUACUCCAGAGAAGACCGGCGAAAAGAGAAGACUUUCUCCGCCAUCAAUCUUUUCGAAAACAAACCAUGGAUAACAGACGACUGUCGGCAGCAGAGAAAGGUAAAGCUUUGGUAUCAGAACCCUAUCAAGCUCCACGAAAAGCUCGGGUUAGAGUUCCAGAACCAGCAAACGCUUACCUCUUACAGAAGCACUCCCUCACCCUCAUAGGGAGAGUGACAAACCCAUCUAUACAAAAGGUAUGGUCUCCCCUGCCGAUCUUUGCAGAAAGGUGGGCUACUGAAACCCGCUUUGUGGGUGCUGAUCUGGUACAAGGCAUGUUCCAGUUCCAGUUUGAGAAAGAAGAAGACCUUCUUACUAUCCUCGACAAACGUCCCUAUCAUUAUGCAAAAUGGAUGGUGAUUGUGGAGAGAUGGAACCCUACCAUGGCCCCUGACUUUCCAUCACUUAUCCCAUUCUGGAUUAAAGUACAAGGACUCCCUGUUCAUCUUUGGACGGAAGCAACCAUAAAAGCAAUUGGAGAAGACAUAGGAAUCUAUGAAGAAGCUGAGAUAACAUCACUCAACGUGCGCAUGCGGGUGCAAAUCAACGGGACACUCCCCCUCAGUACGAGCUCAGUUGUAGAGUUCCCAAGCGGGGAUGAAGUCACAGCAACAUUGGUUUAUGAACAGUUAGCAAAACUCUGCUCUUACUACUACCGACUGGACCAUGAAGCUCGAGACUGUCUAAAAACAAAAGCAGAGAAAAAAGAAAGGUUGCUACUUACGGAAGGAAACAAUGAGGAGACAGCUCUCUCAGCCAAGGAAGCCGAGCCUACUAUGAGUCGAGGGAGAACUACUACGGGCAAAGCACCGUCAACUCGCUACAGAGACACUUACCGACCAUCCCCUUACAGUCGGCCAAAUGAGAAUUACCACAGAGACCGCUACCAUACCAACAGCUACCGUACGGAGCCACGAAAAGAUAGAAACACAAACCUGAGAGUAGCGGAAAACAGAAGCUCUCAAUGGAGAAGAACCCAUGUCCACCACUCCUUUAAUAAGGAAUGAUCGUCACAUACCCCAGCUUAUCAUGACGGCCACAGAACCGGAAGCCAGAUCUCUCCGCGUGAAGCGAGACACCACUCUAGAGAACGGGGACUCCCAAUCUCUGGAGAUGGAAAUGAAGAAUCAAGUGCAUCAAAAAAGGCUCACCAGUACUCUGCUAGGGGGACUCCCCUACAGAUACCCCAAGAAGACCUACCCAGGGAUUGCUAACCAAGAAACACCAGACCUCAAUGAUGACAAUGAUACAAGCCCAAAACGCGUCCCUGCACUGCUUCGGCUAGGACCAUCUCCCCCACCAGCGCAACUAGGAAUGCACCCUACGAACCAAUCUGAAGCCCGUCGCAAACCAGGGAGACCACCAGGCACAAAAAAAGAAAGCUCAAAGCAGCUAGAAACUCCUGGCGGGAUCAAGCUCGAGGAAGAGAAAGGUGCAACAGUCCAAACCCCCCAACGUGCCGUAGGAGCCUUGCAACUCAGAAGGGCAAGAGAACUAACAAAACCAAGCCUGCGAACUCUCACGACAGUUCAGGACUUAGGGGGUCGGCUCAAGAUCUUGAGAACCAACCAAUCUGUAACAUGAUCCCUGCUACGAGGAAGAAGAAGAAGGGGGAUUUUCAGAAUCCGUCGACUUUCGUUCCUUAAAGAUAGUGAGCUGGAACUGCCAAGGUUUAGGGAAUCAUUGGACAGUUCAAAGGUUGGGAGAGAUCAAGAAGAGUAUCUACCCGGACAUCAUUUUCUUGAUGGAAACUAAAAACCCCAACGCAUUUGUACUAGAUAAACUCAAGCAUUUGGGAUAUGAAUACUAUGAUCUAGUACCUCCAGUUGGCCAUGGAGCGGGGGGUCUAGCUUUGUUUUGGAAACAAGAAAUAAAACUUGAGGUUAUAGAGGCAAAUGCAAACUUGAUUGACACACAAGUUGAAGUGGAAGGCAAAAGAUUUUUUGCCUCUUUCAUAUAUGGAGACACAGACCAACAUCAACGAAGAAGCCUUUGGGACUACUUAAUCUCUAUAAGCGAGGCGAGAGACGCGCCAUGGUUCAUUACUGGUGACUGUAAUGAUAUCCUUAGUAAUGAGGAAAAAAAGAGAGGGACCCAAAGACCCGAAGGCUCCUUCACUGACCUGAGAACUUUCUACGCACAGGGAGAUUUAUUCGACAUACCACAUAGCGGUGACCCUCUAUCAUGGAGAGGACAGAGGGGCGACCACCUGGUCCGUUGCAGGUUAGACCGCGCUGCUGCAAAUUCAACCCGGGCUGAACUCUUCCCGACGGCUAGAUGUGUUUAUAUGGCAUAUGAGCGAUCUGAUCACAAACCGCUACUCACUGUCUUUGAACCUUGCAAAAGAAAAAGAAGAGGUAUAUUCCGAUAUGACAGGAGGUUAAAAGAAUACCCUGAGGUCUCAGAGCUAAUAAAGAUAACAUGGGAAGCAGCUCGCUCAUGCUCAGUAUCGGAGAAAAUUACUUUAGUAAGGGGGGCAAUCUCACGAUGGAAUAAAACCAAACAAGCGAACAGUAGGAUUGUUAUUGAGCACAAGAAGGUGGAACUUGAAAAAGCCCAAACAAGCAGCGCAAACGACCUGGAACUAAUCCACAAAAUUUCCAGCGAAUUGAAAGCAGCCUACAAAUCAGAGGAGGCGUACUGGCGCCAGAGAAGUAGAUUAUUAUGGUUGAGACUUGGGGACCAAAACUCGGGGUUCUUUCAUGCGACGACGAAGAACCGGAAGCGGGUGAAUGACUUCUCAGUCAUCGAGGACGCAGAGGGCAAACCUGUCUAUAAGGAGGAGCAGAUUGCUAAGGUUAUUGUCCAGUAUUUCAAUGAUCUCUUCACAAGUACCCCGAGCGAGAGGGAGGAAAUCAUCAAAGUAGCGCUUCAACCGAGAAUCACAGACGAGGAGAAUGGCAAGCUGAUACAGAUCCCGAGUCCAGAGGAAAUAAGAAGCGCUGUCUUCUCCAUACACCCUGAUAAGGCGUCGGGACCGGACGGAUUCUCGGCAGGGUUUUUCCACUCCAACUGGGACGCCACUGGAGGCGACAUUGUCUCAGAAAUACAAGAGUUCUUUACCUCCGGGAAGCUCCCAGCGAAGAUAAACGAAACCUUCGUCCGCCUAAUCCCCAAAAAAGGAAGCCGACAAAUGGUAGCGGACUACAGACCGAUAGCGCAAUGCAAUGUCUACUAUAAGAUCGUCUCCAAGAUCUUGACGAAACGUCUCCAGCCGCUGCUGCCUUCUAUUAUCUCAGAAAAUCAAUCCGCCUUUGUACCGGGAAGAGCAAUAUCAGAUAAUGUUCUAAUCACACAUGAGGUUCUCCACUUCCUCCAAACCUCUAAAGCUGAGAAAAUAUGCUCAAUGGCGGUCAAGACGGACAUGAGUAAAGCCUAUGAUAGGCUAGAAUGGGAGUUCAUUCAGUUGGUCCUUGAAAUAUUGGGAUUCCAUCAGAUUUGGAUCAGCUGGAUCAUGGAGUGUGUCUCUUCAGUUACAUACGCCUUCCUCAUCAACGGCUUGCCUAGAGGAAGAGUUAAGCCGAGUAGGGGAAUCCGUCAAGGAGACCCACUUUCACCAUAUCUAUUCAUCUUGUGUGGUGAAGUACUCUCGGGACGUAACAGAGCACAAGAAACUGGCGAGUUGGCCGGCAUUCGAGUAGCCAUGGGAUGUCCUAGAGUCAACCACCUCCUAUUUCCGGACGACACCAUGUUCUUCACCCGAGCAAACGAAGCCAGCGCAACAGCCCUUACAACGGUGUUACACCAAUAUGAGACCGCAUCGGGCCAGGUUAUCAACGCCGAUAAAUCGGCAAUAACCUUCUCACGCCGAAGUCCAGGGGCCCUAAAGACAAAAAUGAAGCGGAUUCUGGUUAUACAAAAAGAAGGGGGUAUAGGAAAGUAUCUCGGCUUACCGGAUCACUUCGAGGAAAGAAACGUGACUUAUUUAUGUCCAUUGUAGAUAGGAUACAAGUCAAAGCCAGCAGCUGGUCCAACAAGUUUCUCUCAACGGCCAGGAAGUUGGUCAUGCUAUACAGUGUUCUAACGCCGGUCCCCUCAUACGCUAUGACGUGUUUUAAGCUCCCCGUGUCGUUGUGUGAUCGGAUACAGUCAGCUCUAACCAGAUAUUGGUGGGACGGAAAUGAUGGGAGCAGAAAGAUGGCAUGGGUCUCAUGGACAAAAAUGACCCAACCAAAGGCUAAGGGCAGCCUGAACUUCAAGGAUUUCCAGAGCUUUAACGAUGCGUUCUUAGCAAAGUUAAGCUGGAGACUAAUCAACAAUCCCCACUGUCUCUUGAGCAGAGUGCUAAAAGGAAAAUAUUUUGCCGACGAGACCUUUCUAACAGCAUCACAUAAGUCAGUAGAAUCUCAUGGCUGGAAGGGACUUUUGGUGGGAUGGGACCUCAUCUGUAGUAAUGCUGGAUGGGCUGUUGGGAAUGGCGAGUCGAUUCACGUAUGGACAGACUCUUGGCUGAGCAAUACCGAGCAACUCCGACCCAUGGGACCAGCACCAGAAAACCAACAAGACCUUAUGGUGGCUCAUCUCCUUCUACCAGACAAAUCGGAUUGGGACAGAGAAGCUAUACGCCGAGUGAUCCCACAUGAGGAAAGCAAAAUCCUAAGUCUAAAACCUAGCCGAACUGGAGCACCUGAUAAACUCAUUUGGUUAGGCACCAGGUCUGGAGAAUAUACUACAAAGUUGGGUUACAGAACAGCUCUGGAAAGGAAGGACAAUGCGGAAGCAAACCACGCAGGCGACAAGUUUGAUUGGCAAAAAGGAGUGUGGAAACUACACACUGUGCCAAAAAUAAAGCUUUUCCUCUAGAAGAUUUUCUGGGGAGCUCUACCAGUAGGCGAGGGACUGGCUGCUCGAAACAUCACCACCAACAUCAACUGCAAGAGAUGCAACACGACUGAAUCUAUCAAUCAUCUUUUCCUUCAUUGUGGUAUGGCACAAAAGGUUUGGAAUAUUGCCCCAUUCUCCACUAACGUUGAAACUAGAGGAUUGGUAGAUUUGACUGCUAGUUGGAUACACUUUGCAAGUUAGUGUGCCUCCCACCUUCGGGAAUAACCUCAGGUCAACUCGCCCCCUGGAUCCUCUGGCACCUCUGGCUGGCAAGGAACGAUCAUAUCUUCAACAACAAAGAGACAACAUCUGAAGCAAUAAUCACAAAAACGGUAGCAGCAGCUCGAGAAUGGAUUGAGGCACAACCUAUCUUCCCAGGGUCAACUACGGCUCCGCAGCGUAUUGAAGAACCAUCCAGACCUCUGAACUCGAUAUUACUACAAACGGACGCAGUUUGGAGAGAAGAUCUACAACUAGCGGGACUCGGCUGGUGUAUAGGUGAGGGAACUGAGAAAACCUUAACCUUGGCACACUGUCACCACGUUAAUUCACCUUUGGUAGCGGAGGGUCUGGCGCUCCAAGAAGCACUGCAUUACUGCAUUGAGAAAGAAAUUCGCCAGGUCCACUGCGAAACAGACUCUCUCAAUCUUGUCAAGGCGCUCAACUCAGACCCGUCAGCUACAGAGCUCUAUGGAAUUGUCGCUGAUAUAUCUUGCUUAUCUUUAGCUUUUGAUUUUAUUUCCUUCUCUUGGAUUCAACGGGGAAAAAAUGGAGAUGAUGAUGUUUUGGCAAAGCAAACUCUAUGGAAUAUAUCCAGUGUCUAGCUUUCUAUAAACAAUGGAGCCUAGUUUAUUCUGAUUAUGAAAGUUGGUGUUACAAAAAAAAAAAUAGAAAUUGCUUUUUACAAUAUUAGAAAGAAAAAUAUAUUCGUGGCCACCUACCGAUUCCCCACUAUCUCAAUAAAAUUCAACUACUACCAAGCAAUCAGUGUACACUGCGAUCCUUGUUGCUUACUUUCCACACUCUUUGUCAGGUAGUAAUAAUUAAUUACCAGUUUUCCACACGAUUUAAGAAGAAUCAAGCUACGUUGUGUUUCUCAUCCGGACAGAGCUCAAAGAUCUUCCUACAUGGGUUCUCUUGACUUGCCUCAAGCUUCAUCAUUCAAGGUUUUUUCUUAAAUAUUUUCCUUUAAGCGUAAAAAAUCAAACCGAUUAAUCAAUAUGAUACUAUAUGGUUAUGUUGUAACCAGGGAGGAAGUGAAAAUUUUCUCCGGGAUGUGCUUGAGAGUAUACUGAAAACGUAUUUGAGGAAGAAUCUGAUGGCAAAUACGGUAUGGGAACUAGUUCAGUCAGUGGACAACGAAAAGGUCUCCUACGACCACUUUUUCUUCAGGACAAUCAAGGUAUCAGCAGUGUGCAUGCUCAGUUCUGAUCAACAAGCUGGUAUUUUAGGCAUCGAGUUUGUGUUUAUUAGACAUCAAAGUAUAUUAAGAACUUGAGGGCAUCAUUUUAGGUCGAUGGUUAUGGAAUAGAUUCUCUGUCGAGCUUUUUCACGGAUUAUGGAUAUCAAGUUGGAGGCAGACUUGAUUUUCCAAAGAAGCAUCUACACGUUCUCUGGCUUUCUCCUCCUUAUAUAAACGUCCCUGGUGAAGGACACGGUCUAGGCAACGGCCCCUUGCCACGAAUUGUUAUAGCUGAGCUUCUUGUGGACGAACUAAGCCAAGAAUCACAGGUAUGAAUGACAACAAACAUACUGUUGUCAAUAUGAGUCUUCAACAUAUCUAAUUCUCUUUUGUUGGUCCUAAUUGAGAUUAAAUAUUAUUACUAUUUGAAACCAGAAGGUGGUAAGCAAGCCAUUCUUUCAAGUACUUUGGGAUCUCUAAUUUGGGAGAAGCCAACAUCCACCGACUUUAAUCAACUUGCCAAGUAUAUAUCUGAUAACUUUUAGUCAUUACAUUUGAUGGUUAUAGCUUAUCAAUAAAUGAAUUGUAUGUGUCUCAAUGGUAAAGAGAGAGUGAAUAUGGAGCAUGGGCGCUUUUCCACGGCUACACACUGAACCAUCUUGCAUUUGCGGUCCAUCGACUUAAACAUCGUUUUAGUGACGAUAAAUGUGUCGAAGAGUAUUUCAAAGAAAAGGGAUUCAAACUCAACGAAGACGGAGGAGAUGUGCUCAAAGGUCUUCUUCACUUCUCUUGAGAUUUUUCAUUAUGCUUCUAUUCUAUAAAUUUAAUUAGGUGAAAAAUUAUUUCAGUGAGUGAAGAUGGUCUACUGCUACAAGUGUCGUUAAUGUCGGAGAAACAUGAGGUUGAGUUUGCAGAUGGGGUAACUGAAACCAUCACGGCUUCAUACAUUGAGUUCGUUCAACGUCUAGUUCUUCCAGAGUUUAAAGAUGUGCCCCAUGAUGAGGUAAGAAUCUAUUGACAUUGAUUGCAUCUUACACUAGUAUUAGACAUUUUUCACUUUUUCUUGUGAUACAGAUCAAAGAAUUUCAUAGACGUGAGGGCCUCGAGCAAGCUAGCGCCUACCACAUAAUGGAAAGCACCCGUUUCAGAGCACAAGAUUAAAACCAGCUGUCUUGUCUUGUUCUGCUCACUAUGUCAGUGUUGUGUAUCUUUAGUUGUCCGUAUGCUAUAUAUUUCGACCAUCUGCGCGGUAGAUAUUUAUGUUGUUCUUUUCUUGUGAAGUGACGGUAGCUUAUAUUACCUCUCUCAUGAUGGUUAUAGUUACCGAUGAAUAAUUGAAAACAAAGUGUGAUUGUUUGGGAGUCGUUUGUUGUGUACAUGUGUUUUUCAAAUUUUAAAUAAAAUAACUCGCUAGGUGAAUCUAACCUUAGUUCAUGUAGACUAAUUGGUUGAAAAUCUCGUCUCGUUUUAAGUUAUUUUGCUUUUGAAAAGAGUUAACUUAUUCUUUUGUAUAGUUGUUAAUUGGUAUAACUGAUGAUAAAGCAUUAAUCUUCUAUAACAAUAAAGGAGAGUUAUCUCUCCACAAUCUUCCACUCCAUCAUUCAGAGCAAUUGUUGCCACGUGUCAGUAUUUUCUAAACUUUCUUUUGCACGAUAUUUUCCAUUUUUCAUAACUGGAUCUUUAUUUUAUUGGGCCGUAACUAAUUUAUAUGCAUCUGCAAACAAAUGCUUCUAAAAACCUUGAUCAGUAUAACUUUCUUUUUUUUUCUCCGUUUGACAGAUCAAUUAGCCAUUCGUUUUCUUUAUUGCGGAACAUAAUUGCAUAUACCUCUACAACUUCCCCUCAGAGAAGAGAAGAAGAAACAUCAAACUUGGAUUUCCACAAUCAUCGUCGAAUUGAUCUCUUUUCGGUCGAUACUUGGGAAACAGAAUCCUUGAUCAAUCCAUCAAAUCAUGGUGAGGAAAAAGGGUGUCGGAAUGGUUUAAUAGCACCAUGUGGUCUGCUCCUCCUCCGCCCUUUCAAGAGUUUUGACUUCUUUCUCUACACAAUAGCAAAAUUUUAUUUUAGUGAGGACUAAUCUAUAUGGUUCAAGAGAAACUUUAUUUUAUUCUUUCUGGGAAUGACUAGAUUCGUCGCAACCUCCCCCUAACGCUAUUUCUAACGUUAUUAAAAUAUAACUUGAUAUUUACGAUGUUGGUGCAGUAGCAGAAACAAAGGAGGAGAAGUCAGCUUCCUCGGAACCGAGGAACGGUAUCAAUAUCUCUGGGGGUAAUGGAAACUCAGGUGUUCCUUCCACCGAGGACUUUUCCCGCCAAGCUUAUCUCUCAGCGGAGGUCAGGUCAAUUGCGCAAACCUUCCCUCCUUUAUUAACUUAUCUUAAGAUUCUUCUAAGUCUUGAAUUGUUAAUUGAUUUGGUUUUGAUUAGUAGUUAUCAAAGAAGGUGAUCAAUAUGAAGGAGUUGAGGAGUCUUGCUUUACAAAGUUUUUCUGAUUCUCCUGGAAUCCGUUCUACUGUCUGGAAGGUAUUUGAGAUUUAGGAUAUAGUUUGGUUUGCGUGAAAAGCCUUAGGAGAAAUUUGAAAUGUGAUUUUUUAUUUUGUAACUUUUGCUUGGAUACUUGCCACCUGAACGUUCACUCUGGUCAACUGAAUUGAAACAAAUGAGAUCCCAGUACAAACACACACUAUAAGGAUGAGCUUCUUACCACUUCUGUAAGUGAUCAUGUUCUCUUUUUUAUUGUCGAUUCCUACAAAAUCCGAUCAACACUAUGGCUUUCUCUAAUCAUUUGAACGAAAUCCUUUGCAAUAUAACUGACCCAAAGAGGAACACAUGAGGCAAGAUGGGUCGAGAACACAAGUAAAUUUGUAGUGAGGACUAAUCUAUAUGGUUCAAGAGAAACUUUAUUUUAUUCUUUCUGGGAAUGACUAGAUUCGUCGCAACCUCCCCCUAACGCUAUUUCUAACGUUUGUAAAAUAUAACUUGAUAUUUACGAUGUUGGUGCAGUAGCAGAAACAAAGGAGGAGAAGUAGAUGAUAACUCUAAUAUCUCCCGGGGUAGGAGCUAAACAACACUCCACUGAGAGCCGAGAGGAGCCAAGAAGCUACUGUUUACGUUGGGAAUCUCGACCCCCAGGUUCUUCUCCUUUCUCUCUCCCUAACUUUAGAUUUUUGAUUUAUUCGGUAGAUUUACUGUGUGUUUCUCAGUUUCUCUUCUCUGUGAAUUGUAGCUAUAUAUAAAUAAUUUCUUUGGGAAUGUUUAAUACAAGCAGGUCAUGUUGGUAAGUUGAACGCUUUGGUUCAUAUGAAUAAUCUUUGCUUAGUUGCUUCUGUAUCUUAUGGUUGUUGGCUAUACUUAGAAGAACUGGUCUUCAUCUGACAUUAAGGUCCUCUGUUUAUUUUUGGAUUUUAUCAAUUAAUGUGUAUGUUCCCAAAGAUAGGGUGACAAAUCUUCAUCAAGGUUGACUUCCUUUGUGAGGAAGACAUUGGCUAUGUAAGUCUUUCUCUCUUUCAAGAGUUUUGACUUCUUUCUCUACACAAUAGCAAAAUUUUAUUUCCAUAUUAUGCAGGCAAUUAAGGUUCUCAACAUGAUUAAGCUCCAUGGAAAGCCUAUACGUGUUAACAAGGUGUCAUUUUUGUUUCUAUAAGCAUCCUCUGUUUUGUUUACUGACAAAUGCUCCGGACUUUUAUGAGUUUUGAUUUUAUCCCAUCGUAAGAGUUUGAUAACACUUUGUUUCCUAGAUUGAAAUUUUAGUAGGCGUCUCAAGAUAAGAAGAUCAUCGAUGUUGGUUGCCUUUGGAAACAGUUAAAACAAUGGUUGAUAUUUACGCUUCUGCCAAAGGCUGCACAUUAAAAGAUCUUCAUUACAGAAUAGAACAAAAUGGGCGUGGAUUUGAGUACCACGGAUUGGGUUGUUGUUUAUAAUUCCAAAUCUACAAGAAGCGGAAGAUUGGCCUGUCGGAGUUGGUCAUGUUUAUUUUGAUGCCAAUGGCCAAUAAUUUUGGAUUUUAUCAGAGACCAUCAAGAGAUCACUUAACAGAAACUACUACGUUUAGAGAGCAGCACGAGGAGAAAAGAAAAGGUUAAGCCAAGGUAAUAAAGAAAACAAUAAAAACUCGAGGAAGAGACGCAAGGCAAGAAAUAUCACAAGUUUAUUCUAUAACCAAUCUCAAAGUCAAUAUGGCAGAGGUAACAAAUGCUUAAGUUCAUGUCAUUUUUGUUGAUUAUUUUGGGUAGUGAGGUUUAUGAAAUAACAGAACACUUUACUAUGCAGCAUAUUCCAGAUUAUGAGAGAGUGUUUUGUGGAGAAGAUAGCAUGAGUCAUCGUUUAAUUUGUAAUCAGUGGAUGAUAACACUACGUAGUCUGGUUUCAAAGAAGCUAUACGCACUUCUCAUUCGUCUGUCUUUUAGUUGGAUUAAUGCACCAAUUUGACCAACUUUGAUUCUCCACCUUACUAUCUCUCGAUCAUUAAAUUUUCUUUCAAGGUAAAAUCUUUGCUUCCACACUAAUGCAACUAAAAGCAAGUAUGAAUCUCUAUUUACAUUAGUUGAAGUUGUUGGGUAGCUAGGAAAGCUUAGUAUAGAUAAAUAUAUAAAAGUGAUGUUGAGGAAAUUGUAUUAUUUUCUUGGAAUAAAUUAUUGUCAAACUAUUAGAUAUUGUUAGUAUUUUGCAGAUUUUGUCAUAGAUGGCUUUGAUCAAUUAUGAUGUGUUGUUGCAAAAGGAUCCAGCCAAAGAAGGAGGAGGAGUCUCACCUUUUUAUUUUCAUGGAACAUAGAAAUUUGCUGCAACUGUUAAAUCUGGAUUUAGCCCACUGUUUGGUCUGGUUUGCUUUUGAACUUUGUAGCUGUUGUUGCAACUACUCUGGUUUUUUCAUUCCCUGUUUUGAUGGAGCGUAUAUCAACAUUUUUGCUUCUGUUCUAUACAGUAAGAUUUUGGUUUUCCAUAAUAAGAACCAGAUUUGAGUUCUAAGCAACACGAUCACAAAAGAUCAAAACAAAAGAGGGUCUAUAAUGAACAUAUACAACUCUGUUUAUCUACUUCACAGCGGCCGCUCUGGUUGCACUCUGAAGUUGAGCUCGUCCACAUCAUCGUAAAGAUGUUCAAGUCCUCUGUUCUGUUUUUCUAUUUCACUUCACAUAUUCCGUUUUUCUACUUCACUUCACAUGAAUGAUGGUAAUGCGGCUAAAAUUAGACAAAGAAGAGAUGAAAAGAUAACUAAAAUUAGUUAGAAAAGAAAACCAAAUAAAAAUGGAACUGUUGCUAAUGCAAACUAAAUAAAAAUAAUUAAACAGAUUAAAUUACAAUAUUCAAAAUAUAUACACAUUCAAAAUAAGAUCGAACAUAGAUACAAUAUUUAUAUAUCUGACAAAGAUCCGUAGUCGAAGAAUAAACCCCACGAUCCGUAUAUAACACGUAUAUAGCAUAUUUUGAUAUAUAUAUAUAUAUAUAAUUUGUUAAUAGUUUUAAUUUCUUAAAUUUUAAAUUUUUAUAUAAAUAUACAUAUAUGAGAAUCAAAAUAGUAUAAUUUCUAAAUCUAGACACGUCUUCCAUUAUUUUAAAUGAUUUUUAAUGUCAUAAAACUGGAUAUAAUUUUUAAUGAUAAAAUAUUAUAUUUGAUAAUAUUUUUUGAGGAAUAUUAUUCUUUCCUACAAGUUCCCAAAAAAAAUGUUAUUGAUAUAUUAAGCUAAAAGAUUUUAUACACAUUAAUAGAUUGUUUGUUGAAAUAUUUAUUUACAUAUUCUAUUAUUUAUGACAUAUUUAUAUUAUCAAUUUUAGGUACUGAAUUUUAUUUUUAAAUAUUUUAAACUUAAUAAUUUUUUUUAUUAUUAUUUUUAAUAAAGAUAUAAAUUGUUUUUAGUUUAGUCUUUAUAAAAACACUCUAAACUGCAAAACAAUAAUAUUCUCAAAAAAUUAUUAUAUAAAUUUUUAAUAGUUGGUACGUUUUUAAAAAAAACAAAUAUCUGUUAAAUAGUUUUUAGGAUAAUAAAUUAGUGAUGUGUUUUAAAAAGAAGAAAAUAUACAUGAUUUUAACUGUUUUUUAGUUUUGGAAUAUUUUUUUCUAAAUUAAUUGUUUAGUUCAUAUUAAUUAAUUAUGAUAUGCAUAAAAUAUGAGUGACAUGUCAUUAUAAUUAUUUCACAAAAUCAAAGACAAAAUUUUAUGAGGGAUUUUGUUUUAAUAAUGUAGAAGAUAUAAAAAAUGGUCAAAUAAAAAUAAUGAUUUAUUUUUUUAAUAAAAUACCAACGCAAAUGAAUACAUAAUAAAAAUAGUAUAAUGUCAUAAAUACAAGGUAAAGUAAAACCAAAAUAGAUUUAAAUAAACAUGAAAGCUUUAAACCAAAUAAAUAAUAUCUUCGCACACACUUGAGAAGUAAAACGUUUGGCUACUUCGUACACUCACGAAUAUGGUUUAUUAUUGACUUGCUUUAACAUGUUUGAUGAGAGGCUCUGUACCUCCCGCAUACUGUACAGAUUCAACUACAUUAGCAUAUUAUACUUUUGUUGUCAAACCAAAUAAACACUUCACAUGAGGACUGAAAUAUUUAAAUGUACAUUGUGAGAACAAACAUCCACCUCUAAAAUUAUUCACGAACACUUCAAUUUUAUAAUAAGUUAUCUUGAGAAAAUAGUCUAUUCAGAUCCGAGCGAUGCUAGACCAUGAUUAAUAAUUCACUUACUAGAUUCAGUAUCAUUUUGAAAACAAAGUAUUNNNNNNNNNNNNNNNNNNNNNNNNNNNNNNNNNNNNNNNNNNNNNNNNNNNNNNNNNNNNNNNNNNNNNNNNNNNNNNNNNNNNNNNNNNNNNNNNNNNNNNNNNNNNNNNNNNNNNNNNNNNNNNNNNNNNNNNNNNNNNNNNNNNNNNNNNNNNNNNNNNNNNNNNNNNNNNNNNNNNNNNNNNNNNNNNNNNNNNNNNNNNNNNNNNNNNNNNNNNNNNNNNNNNNNNNNNNNNNNNNNNNNNNNNNNNNNNNNNNNNNNNNNNNNNNNNNNNNNNNNNNNNNNNNNNNNNNNNNNNNNNNNNNNNNNNNNNNNNNNNNNNNNNNNNNNNNNNNNNNNNNNNNNNNNNNNNNNNNNNNNNNNNNNNNNNNNNNNNNNNNNNNNNNNNNNNNNNNNNNNNNNNNNNNNNNNNNNNNNNNNNNNNNNNNNNNNNNNNNNNNNNNNNNNNNNNNNNNNNNNNNNNNNNNNNNNNNNNNNNNNNNNNNNNNNNNNNNNNNNNNNNNNNNNNNNNNNNNNNNNNNNNNNNNNNNNNNNNNNNNNNNNNNNNNNNNNNNNNNNNNNNNNNNNNNNNNNNNNNNNNNNNNNNNNNNNNNNNNNNNNNNNNNNNNNNNNNNNNNNNNNNNNNNNNNNNNNNNNNNNNNNNNNNNNNNNNNNNNNNNNNNNNNNNNNNNNNNNNNNNNNNNNNNNNNNNNNNNNNNNNNNNNNNNNNNNNNNNNNNNNNNNNNNNNNNNNNNNNNNNNNNNNNNNNNNNNNNNNNNNNNNNNNNNNNNNNNNNNNNNNNNNNNNNNNNNNNNNNNNNNNNNNNNNNNNNNNNNNNNNNNNNNNNNNNNNNNNNNNNNNNNNNNNNNNNNNNNNNNNNNNNNNNNNNNNNNNNNNNNNNNNNNNNNNNNNNNNNNNNNNNNNNNNNNNNNNNNNNNNNNNNNNNNNNNNNNNNNNNNNNNNNNNNNNNNNNNNNNNNNNNNNNNNNNNNNNNNNNNNNNNNNNNNNNNNNNNNNNNNNNNNNNNNNNNNNNNNNNNNNNNNNNNNNNNNNNNNNNNNNNNNNNNNNNNNNNNNNNNNNNNNNNNNNNNNNNNNNNNNNNNNNNNNNNNNNNNNNNNNNNNNNNNNNNNNNNNNNNNNNNNNNNNNNNNNNNNNNNNNNNNNNNNNNNNNNNNNNNNNNNNNNNNNNNNNNNNNNNNNNNNNNNNNNNNNNNNNNNNNNNNNNNNNNNNNNNNNNNNNNNNNNNNNNNNNNNNNNNNNNNNNNNNNNNNNNNNNNNNNNNNNNNNNNNNNNNNNNNNNNNNNNNNNNNNNNNNNNNNNNNNNNNNNNNNNNNNNNNNNNNNNNNNNNNNNNNNNNNNNNNNNNNNNNNNNNNNNNNNNNNNNNNNNNNNNNNNNNNNNNNNNNNNNNNNNNNNNNNNNNNNNNNNNNNNNNNNNNNNNNNNNNNNNNNNNNNNNNNNNNNNNNNNNNNNNNNNNNNNNNNNNNNNNNNNNNNNNNNNNNNNNNNNNNNNNNNNNNNNNNNNNNNNNNNNNNNNNNNNNNNNNNNNNNNNNNNNNNNNNNNNNNNNNNNNNNNNNNNNNNNNNNNNNNNNNNNNNNNNNNNNNNNNNNNNNNNNNNNNNNNNNNNNNNNNNNNNNNNNNNNNNNNNNNNNNNNNNNNNNNNNNNNNNNNNNNNNNNNNNNNNNNNNNNNNNNNNNNNNNNNNNNNNNNNNNNNNNNNNNNNNNNNNNNNNNNNNNNNNNNNNNNNNNNNNNNNNNNNNNNNNNNNNNNNNNNNNNNNNNNNNNNNNNNNNNNNNNNNNNNNNNNNNNNNNNNNNNNNNNNNNNNNNNNNNNNNNNNNNNNNNNNNNNNNNNNNNNNNNNNNNNNNNNNNNNNNNNNNNNNNNNNNNNNNNNNNNNNNNNNNNNNNNNNNNNNNNNNNNNNNNNNNNNNNNNNNNNNNNNNNNNNNNNNNNNNNNNNNNNNNNNNNNNNNNNNNNNNNNNNNNNNNNNNNNNNNNNNNNNNNNNNNNNNNNNNNNNNNNNNNNNNNNNNNNNNNNNNNNNNNNNNNNNNNNNNNNNNNNNNNNNNNNNNNNNNNNNNNNNNNNNNNNNNNNNNNNNNNNNNNNNNNNNNNNNNNNNNNNNNNNNNNNNNNNNNNNNNNNNNNNNNNNNNNNNNNNNNNNNNNNNNNNNNNNNNNNNNNNNNNNNNNNNNNNNNNNNNNNNNNNNNNNNNNNNNNNNNNNNNNNNNNNNNNNNNNNNNNNNNNNNNNNNNNNNNNNNNNNNNNNNNNNNNNNNNNNNNNNNNNNNNNNNNNNNNNNNNNNNNNNNNNNNNNNNNNNNNNNNNNNNNNNNNNNNNNNNNNNNNNNNNNNNNNNNNNNNNNNNNNNNNNNNNNNNNNNNNNNNNNNNNNNNNNNNNNNNNNNNNNNNNNNNNNNNNNNNNNNNNNNNNNNNNNNNNNNNNNNNNNNNNNNNNNNNNNNNNNNNNNNNNNNNNNNNNNNNNNNNNNNNNNNNNNNNNNNNNNNNNNNNNNNNNNNNNNNNNNNNNNNNNNNNNNNNNNNNNNNNNNNNNNNNNNNNNNNNNNNNNNNNNNNNNNNNNNNNNNNNNNNNNNNNNNNNNNNNNNNNNNNNNNNGCAAUUGUUGCCACGUGUCAGUAUUUUCUAAACUUUCUUUUGCACGAUAUUUUCCAUUUUUCAUAACUGGAUCUUUAUUUUAUUGGGCCGUAACUAAUUUAUAUGCAUCUGCAAACAAAUGCUUCUAAAAACCUUGAUCAGUAUAACUUUCUUUUUUUUUCUCCGUUUGACAGAUCAAUUAGCCAUUAGUUUUCUUUAUUGCGGAACAUAAUUGCAUAUACCUCUACAACUUCCCCUCAGAGAAGAGAAGAAGAAACAUCAAACUUGGAUUUCCACAAUCAUCGUCGAAUUGAUCUCUUUUCGGUCGAUACUUGGGAAACAGAAUCCUUGAUCAAUCCAUCAAAUCAUGGUGAGGAAAAAGGGUGUCGGAAUGGUUUAAUAGCACCAUGUGGUCUGCUCCUCCUCCGCCGUUGUCUUUCAACGACGGCGAUGGUCAUUCCCCCGCCACUAAAAUGAAGGAGAAGUCAUAAUAGAUCUCCGUUGCUUCCAGGCUCAGUUCCGCUCCUCCGCCCUCCACAGCUUCCUCAGAACGGUAUCAAUAUCUCUGGGGGUAAUGGAAACUCAGGUGUUCCUUUCGCCGAGGACUUUUUCCCGCCAAGCUCAUCUCUCAGCGGAGGUCAGGUCAAUUGCGCACACCUUCCCUCCUUUAUUAACUUAUCUUAAGAUUCUUCUAAGUCUUGAAUUGUUAAUUGAUUUGGUUUUGAUUAGUAGUUAUCAAAGAAGGUGAUCAAUAUGAAGGAGUUGAGGAGUCUUGCUUUACAAAGUUUUUCUGAUUCUCCUGGAAUCCGUUCUACUGUCUGGAAGGUAUUUGAGAUUUAGGAUAUAGUUUGGUUUGCGUGAAAAGCCUUAGGAGAAAUUUGAAAUGUGAUUUUUUAUUUUGUAACUUUUGCUUGGAUACUUGCCACCUGAACGUUCACUCUGGUCAACUGAAUUGAAACAAAUGAGAUCCCAGUACAAACACACACUAUAAGGAUGAGCUUCUUACCACUUCUGUAAGUGAUCAUGUUCUCUUUUUUAUUGUCGAUUCCUACAAAAUCCGAUCAACACUAUGGCUUUCUCUAAUCAUUUGAACGAAAUCCUUUGCAAUAUUACUGACCCAAAGAGGAACACACGAGGCAAGAUGGGUCGAGAACACAAGUAAAUUUGAAGUGAGGACUAAUCUAUAUGGUUCAAGAGAAACUUCAUUUUAUUCUUUCUGGGAAUGACUAGAUUCUUCGCAACCUCCCCCUAACGCUAUUUCUAACGCUAUUUCUAACGUUUGUAAAAUAUAACUUGAUAUUUACGAUGUUGGUGCAGUAGCGGAAACAAAGUAGGAGAAGUAGAUGAUAACUCUAAUAUCUCCUGGGGUAGGAGCUAAACAACACUCCACUGAGAGCCAAGAGGAGCCAAGAAUCUAUUGUUUACGUUGGGAAUCCCGACCCCCAGGUUCUUCUCCUUUCUCUCUCCCUAACUUUAGAUUUUGGAUUCAUUCAGUAGAUUUACUGUGUGUUUCUCAGUUUCUCCUCUCUGUGAAUUGUAGCUAUCUGAAGAAUUUCUUUGAGAAUGUUUAAUACAAGCAGGCCAUGUUGGUAAGUUGAACGCUUUGGUUCAUAUGAAUAAUCUUUGCUUAGUUGCUUCUGUAUCUUAUGGUUGUUGGCUAUACUUAGAAGAACUGGUCUUCAUCUGACAUUAAUGUCCUCUGUUUAUUUUGGAUUUUAUCAAUUAAUGUGUAUGUUCCCAAAGAUAGGGUGACGAAUCUUCAUCAAGGUUGACUUCCUUUGUGAGGAAGACAUUGGCUAUGUAAGUCUUUCUCUUUUCCAAGAGUUUUGACUUCUUUCUCUACACAAUAGCAAAAUUUUAUUUCCAUAUUAUGCAGGCAAUUAAGGUUCUUAACAUGAUUAAGCUCCAUGGAAAGCCUAUACGUGUUAACAAGGUGUCAUUUUUGUUUCUAUAAGCAUCCUCUGUUUUGUUUACUGACAAAUUCUCCGGACUUUUAUGAGUUUUGAUUUUAUCCCAUCGUAAGAGUUUGAUAACACUUUGUUUCCUAGAUUGAAAUUUUAGUAGGCGUCUCAAGAUAAGAAGAUCAUCGAUGUUGGUUGCCUUUGGAAACAGUUAAAACAAUGGUUGAUAUUUACGCUUCUGCCAAAGGCUGCACAUUAAAAGAUCUUCAUUACAGAAUAGAACAAAAUGGGCGUGGAUUUGAGUACCACGGAUUGGGUUGUUGUUUAUAAUUCCAAAUCUACAAGAAGCGGAAGAUUGGCCUGUCGGAGUUGGUCAUGUUUAUUUUGAUGCCAAUGGCCAAUAAUUUUGGAUUUUAUCAGAGACCAUCAAGAGAUCAUUUAACAGAAACUACUACGUUUAGAGAGCAGCACGAGGAGAAAAGAAAAGGUUAAGCCAAGGUAAUAAAGAAAACAAUAAAAACUCGAGGAAGAGACGCAAGACAAGAAAUAUCACAAGUUUAUUCUAUAACCAAUCUCAAAGUCAAUAUGGCAGAGGUAACAAAUGCUUAAGUUCAUGUCAUUUUUGUUGAUUAUUUUGGGUAGUGAGGUUUAUGAAAUAACAGAACACUUUACUAUGCAGCAUAUUCCAGAUUAUGAGAGAGUGUUUUGUGGAGAAGAUGUUAAAAGCAAAUAUGAAUCUCUAUUUACAUUAGUUGAAGUUGUUGGGUAGCUAGGAAAGCUUAGUAUAGAUAAAUAUAUAAAAGUGAUGUUGAGGAAAUUGUAUUAUUUUCUUGGAAUAAAUUAUUGUCAAACUAUUAGAUAUUGUUAGUAUUUUGCAGAUUUUGUCAUAGAUGGCUUUGAUCAAUUAUGAUGUGUUGUUGCAAAAGGAUCUAGCCAAAGAAGGAGGAGGAGUCUCACCUUUUUAUUUUCAUGGAACAUAGAAAUUUGCUGCAACUGUUAAAUCUGGAUUUAGACCACUGUUUGGUCUGGUUUGCUUUUGAACUUUGUAGCUGUUGUUGCAACUACUCUGGUUUUUUCAUUCCCUGUUUUGAUGGAGCGUAUAUCAACAUUUUUGCUUCUGUUCUAUACAGUAAGAUGUAUAUCAACAUUUUUGCUUCUGUUCCAUUCAGUAAGAUUUUGGUUUUCCAUAAUAAGAACCAGAUUUGAGUUCUAAGCAACACGAUCACAAAAGAUCAAAACAAAAGAGGGUCUAUAAUGAACAUAUACAACUCUGUUUAUCUACUUCACAGCGGCCGCUCUGGUUGCACUCUGAAGUUGAGCUCGUCCACAUCAUCGUAAAGAUGUUCAAGUCCUCUGUUCUGUUUUUCUAUUUCACUUCACAUAUUCCGUUUUUCUACUUCACUUCACAUGAAUGAUGGUAAUGCGGCUAAAAUUAGACAAAGAAGAGAUGAAAAGAUAACUAAAAUUAGUUAGAAAAGAAAACCAAAUAAAAAUGGAACUGUUGCUAAUGCAAACUAAAUAAAAAUAAUUAAACAGAUUAAAUUACAAUAUUCAAAAUAUAUACACAUUCAAAAUAAGAUCGAACAUAGAUACAAUAUUUAUAUAUCUGACAAAGAUCCGUAGUCGAAGAAUAAACCCCACGAUCCGUAUAUAACACGUAUAUAGCAUAUUUUGAUAUAUAUAUAUAUAUAUAAUUUGUUAAUAGUUUUAAUUUCUUAAAUUUUAAAUUUUUAUAUAAAUAUACAUAUAUGAGAAUCAAAAUAGUAUAAUUUCUAAAUCUAGACACGUCUUCCAUUAUUUUAAAUGAUUUUUAAUGUCAUAAAACUGGAUAUAAUUUUUAAUGAUAAAAUAUUAUAUUUGAUAAUAUUUUUUGAGGAAUAUUAUUCUUUCCUACAAGUUCCCAAAAAAAAUGUUAUUGAUAUAUUAAGCUAAAAGAUUUUAUACACAUUAAUAGAUUGUUUGUUGAAAUAUGGUUUGAAUUUCAGAAAUAUAUAGGGUUUGGGGUUCACGUUUAGGGUUUAGAGUUUAUGUUUUAGGGUUUAGAUUUGAAGGUUUAGGGUUUAGGGUUUAGAGUUGAUGUUUGGGGGUUUAGGGUUUAGAGUUGAUGUUUCAUGGUUUAGGGUUUAGAGUUGAUGAUUUAGGGUUUAGAGUUUAGGGUUUAGGGUUUACAUUUGAUCGUUUAGGGUUUAGAUUUGAAGGUUUCAUGGUUUAGGGUUUAGAGUUGAUGAUUUAGGGUUUAUAGUUGGUGUUUUAAGUUUAGAUUAAACUUAUGUUUUUUUGUCAUAGUUAAUUCAAGGGUUAUAAAUGUCUUUUACCCUUCAUUAAAGAUUAUGGUAAAAUUGAUGAAUAUAAACAUGAAAAGUGGUACUUUGAAAAUGGUAUUUUUGGCAAUUUCCUAAUAUUAUAUUUGAUAGUAUUUUAUAUAUUAAGUUAAAAGAUUUUAUACACACUAAUAGAUUGUUUGUUGAAAUAUUUAUUUACAUGUUCUAUUAUUUAUGACAUAUUUAUAAUAUCAAUUUAAGGUACUGAAUUUUAUUUUUAAAUAUUUUAAACUUAAUAAAUUUUUUCAUUAUUAUUUUUAAUAAAGAUAUAAAUUGUGUUUAGUUUAGUCUUUAUAAAAAAACUCUAAACUGCAAAACAAUAAUAUUCUCAAAAAAAUAUUAUAUAAAUUUUUAAUAGUUGGUACGUUUUAAAAAAAAAAUCUGUUAAAUAGUUUUUAGGAUAAUAAAUUAGUGAUGUGUUUUAAAAAGGAAAUUAUAAAGAAGAAAAUAUACAUGAUUUUAACUGUUUUUUAGUUUUGGAAUAUUUUUCUAAAUUAAUUGUUUAGUUCAUAUUAAUUAAUUAUGAUAUGCAUAAAAUAUGAGUGACAUGUAAUUAUAAUUAUUACAAAAUCAAAGACAAAAUUUUAUGAGGGGUUUUGUUUUAAUAGUGUAGAAGAUAUAAAAAAUGGUCAAAUAAAAAUAAUGAUUUAUUUCUUUUAUAAAAUACCAAUGCAAAUGAAUACAUAAUAAAAAUAGUAUAAUGUCAUAAAUACAAGGUAAGUUAAAACCAAAAUAGAUUUAAAUAAACAUGAAAGCUUUAAACCAAAUAAAUAAUAUCUUCGCACACACUCGAGAAGUAAAACGUUUGGCUACUUCGUACACUCACGAAUAUGGUUAAUUAUUGACUUGCUUUAACAUGAUCAAUGAGAGGCUCUGUACCUCCCGCAUACUGUACAGAUUCAACUACAUUAGCAUAUUAUACUUUUGUUGUCAAACCAAAUAAACACUUCACAUGAGGACUGAAAUAUUUAAAUGUACAUUGUGGGAACAAACAUCCACCUCUAAAAUUAUUCACGAACACUUCAAUUUUAUAAUAAGUUAUCUUGAGAAAAUAGUUUAUUCAGAUCCGAGCGAUGCUAGACCAUGAUUAAUAAUUCACUUACUAGAUGCAGUAUCAUUUUGAAAAUAAAGUAUUAAACCAAUAUGUCCCAAAUGAAGUCUCUAAAAGAUUGCCACAUCCAUGAUAUGACCAAAGUAUGCGAGGAUUGUUACUACUUUAAGAGAAUGAAAGAAAUUUUUAAUUUCGUUUAAACAAGAUAAUCACAAAACAACACGCAUUACAUGUUUCCCUUUUGGAACAUCGACUUUACUUUAUGUUUUAAGUUCAGCAAUAUUUACUUUGUGUAACUAUAAACUAUUUAUUCUAUUCUUAUUGAAUUGAUCAAUGAAACCACUUAUGCUAUUACUUUUUGAUCUAAACAGCUUCAAAACAAAGUAAUACACUACUGUCACUUACCAAUAUCAUAUGGAUCAAAAAUAAUAAAACAUACGAACCCGGCGCGUAGCGCCGGAAUACCACUAGUUAACAAUAUGAUGCUGAAGUUGUAUGCUUUCAUUAAUGUAUUUAAUAAAUUAAUUAGUAUAUCAAUAAAUGAUUCAUAUAUAAAAUUAUUCUAUUUUCUAGCUGAUAUAAAUAUAAUUAUAUAUAUAUAUAUUAAUUUUAAUUUUGUUACUGAAAAUAAUGAAUAACAUUUAAUUAUAUUUAAAUUUUGAAAUAAUUUUUAAAAGAGUUCAAAUAUUUAUCUCUAAUUUUUUUUUGAAAAAAAUAUAAAUAUAACUUUUAUAUAAAUUAAUUGUAUAUAAUUAUUUUAACACUUUAUAAAUUUUUAAUGCAAAUACUCUACUAAAAAUUUUAUAUGAGAAUGUUGAACAAAAAAUACUUAAAUAGCAUUUGCAUCUUCUGAAUAUUUUUCUAAUAAUUGUUGAUUGGAUAAUAAAAAGCAUAAUACUUUUACAACUGCUUUGACAAUCAAACCUUAAUACAAACAAUAAAAACGAAAUCAGCAUAUCCAUUUACACGAACAAUUAAUUCCUUGGGGAGAUGACCAUGAACCACACCAAAACUCCUUUGAACAAAACAGCAUAUCCAUUUCCUUUCGUAUCAUCAUUAUGGUUAUAUACAGACAGUAUAUAGAUGACUUUUGUUUUCUUUUAAGCCAAACUCGUCCACAAGAAUAUCUAGUGGUCUAGUGGGCUAGUGGGCUAGUGGCCAUGUGGAGAAACCAAGAUUUAUAUUCUACGUACUUCAACAUUUAAGCAACUUUUCGAAAGACCUUCCGAUCACUUUUCGUCCAUGGCUUCCUAUUAUUCAUUGUCUAUUCUUGAUAUGCUGUUCAUAUAGUCAUAUGUUUCAUUCAUACUACUAUAUCUAAUGUCUUAACUACACAAAUUAAAGAUCAAACUCAGUUGAUCAAAAACAUGUAGCUACAUUUUAACUAUACAAUUCAAAACAAAUUCAAUAUAUUUUGCAAUAUAUAUGAAAUCGACUUAAAAAAUAAAUCAGCCCAUAGCACGUAUGGUUUCGUUUUCAUAUUAAUUUUCAGUUAUACAAAAUGUGGAGUGAAAUAAAUUACUCUUGUAACUUAUUGUUCAAAUCAUGUUAUAUGUUAUUAUCGGUUACCAAAGGCAACUGCAAAGAAACUGGCGAGUACGGUAGCUCAAUUUUGGUGGAGUCCUGGAGGAAUCACAAAAGGCAUGCACUGGAAAUUGUGGGAUAAAUUAUGUAUAAACAAAGACGAAUGAGGUCUAGGCGUUAAAGAUUUUACGGAUUUUAAUACGGCUAUACUUGGAAAACAAUUAUGGCGUAUGAUAUAGAAGCGAAAUACUUUAUUUUCUCUAGUUUUCAAAGGACGGUACUACAUGAAUGCUUCACCUUUAGAACCGAUCCGUUCAUAUUCCCUGUCAUACGUCAUACGACUGGAGAAGCAUUGUCUCUGCUAGAUCUCUGGUUAACAAAGGAUUAAUUAAAAGGGUGGGAACAGGUUCAUCUAUAUUUGUAUAGAAUGACCCAUGGCUCCCAACCACUCGCCCGAGAUCAACAAAUAAAAACCAACAAAACACUUACCCGGACCUUACAGUGGAUUCUCUCAUUAAUUCAGCCUCGCGAACAUGGAACUUGCAGGCGAUUCGGGCUUUGGUGGAUCCCUAGGACGUAAACAUUAUCGAAAGUAUACCAUUGAGUAGGACUCAGUUGGUGGACAGGGAUUGAUAACAUUUCACUAAUAAUGGAAAAUAUACUGUCUACCAAUUAGAACGGGUUUACCCGGAUAAGGAAAAAAUACUAGAAAUUUUUGGACCCAAUGUGUAUAUACUAAAAACGUUUUGCUGGAAGGUGCAGUGUCCACCGAAGAUAAAACAAUUCUUAUGGCAAAUGGUUUCAGGGUGCAUAGCUGUUAAGAAAAACCUGAAAGCGCGAGGGAUACAAAGGGACAUAUCUUGUGAUAGAUGUGGAGAUUCAGAAAAGUCAAUAAAUCAUUUGUUUUUUAAUGUCCUCCAACGAGUCAAGUUUGGGCGCUCUCAAAGAUACCAUCAAACCCGACUAAUUUUCCCCCCAGUUCUAUCUUCACAAACAUGGAUCAUCUUUUUUUUAGAGUUCUCCCAAACAUAGACGAUCAUCAAUUUGCAUGGAUAUUAUGGUACAUUUGGAAAGGGAGGAACAACAAAGUGUUUAGUAAUAUUGACAUUGAUCCCAGAGAAACACUCAAAUUAGCACAAACAGAGUUAAUACUUUGGGCUGAAGCACAACUGCUGAACAUAAAUCGGGCAAAACAACUGGUUGAGGUUAGGAAUCUACAAUCCAUCCCAGGGCGGUGGUACUUUACAUAUAGGUCGUGGAAAGACAAGGACCCUUACUCUGGACAAGGUUGAUAUAGCACCUUAGAGGGUUUUGAUUGAUUGAUGGGGGCAAGAAAUGUUAGGGCAACUCUAUCACCUCUUCAUGCGAAGGUGGAAGCACUAAUAUGGGCAAUGGAAUGUAUAAGGAAUUUGCGUCAGUUUCAGAUCAUGUUUGCAACGGAUUGUUCUCAUUUGGUGAAGAUCGUUUCGGAACCAUAAGAAUGACCAGCGUUUGAAAUGUAUCUGGAAGACAUUAAGAUUUUGAAAGCAAGUUUUGAGAUCAUUCAUGUACCUCGGACGGAAAAUUCAAGGGCGGAUAGUCUAGCACGCAAUGUCAGAAUACAACUGUCUUUCGUCGGUCACGUGGAUUUGGACGGAGAGUUACCACUUUGGUUCACAAAAUCAAUAUGAAUCUGUUUAUAUUGACACAAAAAAGAAAAAAAUUUAUUGUUCAAAAAAUAAUUACGUAAAACUCAAACCAAGUUAGCCAUAUAAAUCACACUAGUAACCUGUAAAAUGUUUCCCAUCACAUUAAACACGUCCGAAACAAAUCGCAUAUCUCAUUUUAUUCGACCGUAACGACUAUUUACGCACACGAAAAUGAGGUUAAAAAUUUGAUGGAGUUUUUGUGUUGAUGUUGUGCUGGACCACAUUAUCACGAGACAAGAUAUGUUCCACUUCCACCUCGUCCCUUGUCAGAGUUAUUAGGUGCAAAUUUUAACAACGAAACCAUUGUUCAUGUUAUAUAUAUCAAAUUCAAACAAUACUAAGCCCGUCAAGCUCAAAAGGAAGUAACAUAUCAAGUUAGAUGAACUUUAAACUUAAAUUUUUUAAUUUUACUCAAUUUCAAUAUUUUUCAUUUAAAAAAAAUUAAUAGGCUAAAUAAAUUAAAUAAAUCAUUUUAAUUAGCUAGUUUUUAAUAUAAUUUUAAAUUUUUUAAAUUUUUUUUCAAAAAGGAUCCGGAUAUCCGCGGGUAUUUAGAUUUUAGUCCGGAUAUCCUAACCCCGGAUAUCCAGAGAGGCCGAAUCCGGAUCCGGAUAGCAAUUUUACGGAUCCGGAUCUCUCAAAAUACCUCGGAUAUCCGAUUCGUCUCAGGGCUAACACUAUCAUGUGAAUACACAAAAGCAAUGUAAUUCCUUAUAUAUAUUAAUUGAGAAACAUUACAACAUUUUUUUGUAAUCGUUUGCCAUAACUAGGAUGUAUUUUUAGAAAAAUUAGUUGGUUCAUCUAAAUAUUUAUUAUAUUUUUUUACUAAACUAACUAUCAAAUUGAUUAGUAGUGUACAAAAUAAUAUUUUGCAUUAUAUUCUUAAAUAAAAACUACAGAAUUACCUAAUAUGAUUAAUAUAUAUAUAUAUAUAUGACAAUUUAUAAUUAUGAAUAAUAAAGAUUUGAUAACAAUUUUUGUAUCCUCCCUCAUAUUUGCUUAAUUUUAUAUGAUUUUUAAAAAAAAUAAACAAUCACAUUAACCAUAUAAUAAAAAUCUUAGAUUUUUCUUAUAUGUUAUAUUUUGAAUUUUUGAAAAGACUAUAAAUUAUUAAAAAUGUUAAAAGUCUCACAUUGAAAAUUUUGUAAUCAAUGGUUUAACCUUUUUUGUUAUAGCAGAUACAAAUGAUCAUAAAAUCUUAUCAAUAUGAAGUCUCAUUUAAUGGAUAUUCAUACUAAUAUAUAUAUAUAUAUAAUUUUAAUAUUGUUUAAAUUAAACUAUAUAUACCGUAUAAAAAUACAUAUAUAUAUAUAUAUGUUAAUUUCAAAAUUUGAAUUCAAAACGUAUUGAGACCUUAGUAUUUUAAUUUUGAAAUUUACAUUGAAAAAAUAUCAUAUUGAAAAUUUUGUGAUUAAUGAUUUAAAUUUUUUGUUACGGAAAAUAUACAAAUGUUAAUAAAUCAUAUGAGUAAGAACUCUCCGUAAUAAAUAUUUAUAUUAAAAUAUACUAUAUAUCUAUGUCAAUAUUACUGAAAUUUAAUUAUAUAUCAUAUAACAUGAAUAAAAUGAUUGUUUUGAUUUAUUUACUAGAAAUUGUAUUAUAAAUAAAUAAGAGGUAUUGUUUUGAAUUUAUGAAUUUAUUCUAAUUUAAUUAAUAUAUAAUACGUAAAUGAAUGCAACAUAAAUAAUAAUAUGUAAAAAUUAUUUAUAUACAUAGUGUUCAAACCUAUUACUUUAGUACACCGCUGGACAUUCACAGAUUUCACGAAACCAAACCAAAAGAAUCUGAUGUCGACGGAAAACAAAAGAAUGGGUCCCUUUUAAAAUUUCCUUAUUUUCGUCAAAUAUAGUACACAGGGAUUGUUUGUGUCACAUAAGGAAAUAUUGUACCCACUUGCAUAUAAAUAGAUAACAAAGGUGAUUAGAGAGCAUCUCCUGUCCAACUUGUGAACUCAUCAUGCACACUAGGAUCCGGUUUUUCUUUUCUUUUUUGAGGUUUAUUAAUAUUGAACCACAAUCAUCAUGUUUACACUGAGGAGCUAUGAGCUUUUACAUGGUGGUUGGCUGGUUGCAUAACAUGUUUAUAUCACUAUGUUUUUGUUUGUUAUACGUUUCUCCAGUAUUUUCCCUAAUAUAAAGAGUAACUUUUUAUUAAAUGUAACAUUGAGUUGUUUUUUUCUAAAGAGGCCUAUGGAUGGAAAAAAAUGUUAGUCAAUAGACUUGUUUGAACUCAGCUGAUUAUAAACCACAAGUGUGAUCCCUCUUAUGGCAAAACAGCACCUUUGUCUCACUCUUCUUACCAAACACUUAAACAAGCAAAAGGAAUCGUUUUUUCCUUCUUGUAACUUUUAUUUUUCACAAUUCCAUAAUUUAUCCUUUAUAAAAAGUGACUCUUGUGAGUCUCAACAUUUACAGCAAUUGACUCAGCAUUUUCAUUUACAACAUUCACCAAUGGAAAACUCAAACAUUGAUUCAGAAGUUUGGUUUCAGAACCAGAACCAAAACCAUUGCCUUAAGUUUCAUUCUUCUUGCUUUCCUCCAACCUCUCAAUCUGCUCUUUAUGGUAUUCAUCUUUUCCACCGUUCUUGAUUUUAGUUUUGUGGGUUUCCUCCAAUGCACCUUUUGUUUAGUUUUGACCUUUAACGAAUCUUCAUUGUCAAAUUGUAUCCACUCUGAGUUUAAAAAGUUCGAACAAAAAAAAAAAAAACUUUGAACAACUUCAUGUGACAUAGAAAGAUUCUCUUCUUAAUUUUCGUGUCAUUGUGGAUUAUUGAAUCAAAAUUUUGGUCACACAAUCUUCUUGAUUCAGGAUCUAGCUCAAUGAGCAAUACGGAGAUCAACACUGUGGACGAAGACGACGUCUGUGAGAGCUACAAGAUGCGUGAGACAACCAAGAAACGGAAGCUGACACCAAUCCAAUUGUGUUUACUAGAGGAGAGUUUCGAAGAAGAUAAACGACUCGAACCAGACAGGAAACUCUGGCUGGCCGAGAAGCUGGGUUUGCAGCCGACCCAAGUCGCUGUAUGGUUCCAAAAAAGAAGGGCUAGGUUCAAGACUAGACAGCUAGAGCUCGACUGUGACUCUCUUAAGGCUAGCUAUGCUAAGCUCAAAACUGAUAGGGACAUUCUCGUUCGACAAAACCAAGCCCUCGAGAACAAGGUACAUUUAUUCUUAAAAUGCGAAUUUUACAGAGACUAAGUUAAACAUUUUGAUGAAACACUCAAAAACAGGUUGCACUUCUCAAAGAGGAGCUGAAAAUACAAGAGAAACUCGAAACUCAGUCUAUGGAAGCCGAGAAGCUUGGGGAAGAAGGUAGCUCGAUGAAAAGCGAUAAUACGCAGUACACUGAAGAAGAAGAAGAAGAAGAAGAAGAAGGCUUGGGAAGUAAUCAAUACAGCUUCCCGGAGCUUGCAGCUCUCGGAUUCUACUAUGACCCAACGUUGAGUGCUUCAAAUCUAGGGUUGUGAGCUUGUAACACUGUAGGUCUACAUCCCGUGUGGCCCAAGAUAACUUAUCUGCUUCUUUAUUUUUCUUAGGGUUCAUAUUGAGGCGAAAAAAACGUUGAAUAUUUUCAUGGUUGGUAAUAAAAAUCUUAUAAAUAAAAUAUUAAUUUUCUUGCAAGUUAAACGUACGUUAUGUUAUAGCCAUGGUGUUAAAGUACUACGACCUUUCAUAGAACUCGACCGACAAUACCAUAUUUUUCAAUGGCUAGAGAAUCCAAAGGUUAGUGUGUAUUUUUUCAAAUGAUAUGAUGUGAUCAUUUAGGUAUCCAAAUGUAUAUACACUACGGUUGAUAACAUGUUAUAUGCUACAUUUCCAAAUAGUCAAUGAUUGAAAUAGUAGAAAGGAGAAUUGAUUCUAUCAUUUGAAAAGGACUAGCACUAUUUGAUUAAUGGUAAUAAAACAAAUUAGUUUGUGAAAUUGAAAAUAGACCGAGCUUGUCCUUGCGCCGGAAACAAGGAGAUACGAAACAUCAUCACCGCUAGAAGAGAGAGGAAGCAAUUCCUUAAACUCAUGGAAAAGUGGAUGCGCUGAACGUGGAAAUUAGUCCGGCUCAUCUUCAUUCGGGUUAUUAUCUUGUUUUUAGUUUUUUUUGCCAAGGUGUAACAUAAUUAGAUCUUUUUAAAGUCUAAAUUUUUAUUUAUAUGAUAUUUAUCUUUUAGCGAAAAAAAAUAGACAGAGCUCUUCUUAUCCGAAUCACGACCCAUGGCGAUGUUCAAAACUCAACACAAUCUUUUGAAUGGCCACGUGUGCGGAUCAGAUGACUCAGAUCCAGAUAUUACCGCCAUCCACGUCAGUGUGGGACCUUUUAGUACAAAACACAUAGAUUUUCUCUGCAUUAAUAAUAGUUCCAGUCUCGAAUUAAGGUCAGACAGUCGACACGUGGCAAAUUAUGUUUGGAAGUGCUGAAGCAUUGGAGUUUUGUGGGUCCAUCGAUAUGUCAUGUCUCUCUCAACUUCUCACACAUGUGGACAGUGGAGUUACUAUGUGGGCCUUCACCCGAUGUUAAGCCCAUUUAUCUUAAGCCCAAAAACACUAAUUAACUUUAGCCAGUUAGGUUCAAACUACGUCGUUUAGGUCACUGUGCUGAGCAUCAGAGACGGUCGAGUGAUGGCCGAACACGGUGGGAUAACUCCGGCUCCGGCCGAUGAAGAAGAACAAGUGUGGAGCUGGGGUGCAGGAACGGACGGCCAACUAGGGACUGCUAAGCUGCAAGACGAGCAUCUCCCGCAGCUUCUCUGGCUGACGUCACUUGCUUCCAUAUCGAUGCUCGCUUGUGGCGGCGCUCACGUCAUCGCCUUGACUUCUGGUAACCCCCCCUUCAAAUCUCCGAUUAAGUAUCUUCUGAUCCAACAUUUAAAGUAUGUUUUUUUUUUUUUAAUUUGCAGGUGGUAAGGUGUUGACAUGGGGAAGGGGAAACUCUGGUCAAUUAGGACAUGGGGACAUGCUCGACUCUUCUUUGCCAAAACCAGUAUCUUUCUUCGACGACUAUGUUGUAACUCAAGCCUCAGCUGGAUGGAGCCACUCUGGUUUUGUUUCAGGUAGGUAAACUUAACAUGGAGGCUUGAAACUGCUUAGGAGACAAAGAGAUUGAUCUCCCUUUUGUGUUUUUUGUGUUAGAUUCUGGUUGCCUAUUCACUUGUGGAAAUGGCUCAUUUGGUCAGCUUGGUCAUGGUGAUAACAUGUCACUUUGCUCUCCAGCUAAAGUCUCUUACUUUGCCGAUAAGAGCGUGAAGAUGGUAGCUUGUGGUAUGCGCCACUCACUUGUCUUGUUCGCAGGUAAAACAUCUGACACUGCAUUCACUAGCUCUUCAAUAAAAGUUUGUUUUCUCAUUUUUGAUUUAUCUUGUCUUCUUCAGGAAAUCAAGUGUGCGGAUUCGGAUCUGGGAAACGCGGACAGCUUGGUUUCUCAUCAGACAAAACUAAGACACUAAUUAAUCUUCCAUGUCUUGUCUCUGGAUUAGAAGAUGUUGAGAUUGUUCGUAUAGCAGCCAAUGGAGAUCAUAGUGCAGCUAUAACCGGUUAACUCUUUAAGUCUCAUGUUCAGUUUCAUUGAUUGAUCGAAUCAUGUGUGUGUUUUGUUAAACUCGUAUUGCGAUGUGCUUAACCAGCUAAUGGACAAAUGUUCAGUUGGGGAAGAGGUUUCUGCGGCAGUCCUGAUGUUCAAGCCCCUCAGUGUUUACCCUCAUCUCAAUUCUUCAGAGAAGUUGCUUUAGGAUGGAGUCAUGCUUUAUUACUAACCGGUAAUUUCUGUUUAGAUGCAUGAGUUAGCUUCUGAUAGCUCAUUGAACUCAUUCCUCUGCUCAUGGACUUUGUUGAACAGUCGAUGGAGAAGUUUUCAAGCUUGGUAACACCCUUAAUAAACAAUCCGAGAAGCAACAACUGCAAGUAGAUCCGUCUGAACCUUUUUUGGAGAAAGUUCCAGGUUUUGAUGGAGUUAAAGUUAUGCAAAUUGCAGCAGGAGCAGAGCAUUCUGCUGCUUUAACAGGUGGCAAUUCAUCUCUUUGUUCUCCAGACUUUCUGAGUUAUAAACAAACAAACCUGUGAAUAUACCUUGCAGAGAAUGGAGAAGUUCAGACAUGUGGAUGGGGUGAACAUGGUCAGCUAGGUGUUGGAAACACCAAUGAUCAGAACAAUCCUCAACUCGUAAGCCUAGGAAGUAUAGACCAGCGGACGAGAGAUACCAAAGUAUAUUGCGGAAGUGGAUUUACAUAUGUAGUUCGGCGAAUACAAAAGCUUUCUUCAUCAUAGAAAUGGAUGUAUCAUAUCUCUAAUGUGUGUAACAUUGUACAAUGUGAGAAGUCAAUUAUUGGCAUUAUUCUCGUCAAGAGGAAUAGUCAUUACAAUGAUGAAAAUUGAGAUAUACAGAUUUUUUUCGUUUUUUUAAGAUUAUAAAAAACCUACAGCUAGCUCUACUGCUUUUCCCUGGCUAACCUUGCUCUACUUGAAAGUGAAAUUACAAAAGUAAACUAAAACCCUACUGAUUCAGCUCAAUGAUCCAUGGAUGGUGGGAUUAGCAAUGACCUCACGAGAUGAUGAGCAGAUUGUUUUCAUAUCCAUCACAAGUAACAAUGGGUCUAAGCGGGUCCACUUUCCACUGGCCAUCAACUACAAACUUUAUCUGUGAAGAAAAUGUAGCGACUUUAAGAUUUGGUUUGUGGCUCAUAAACAUGUAUAAUAUUAGAUGCAGAUACUGUGUUUGAUUGAAUGAGCUAACCUGGUAUUUUCCAGGAUAUAGCUUCAGCGUCAAAGAGGAGACUCCGUUCUGUGCUUUCUUCAUUUUCCUCUGCUUCCAAAAUCAUAAAACAAAUUUAAGUAGAUGUGAAGGACUUUGUUUUAUCCUUUUUUUUUUCUUUUAUCGAUGUGAACUGACCUGGGUUGACCAACCGUCAAAUGAACCCGUUAGUAAAACUUCCGAGGCUGAGUUAGGCCAUACUAUGGAUGCAGUCCGGAGUAACCGUAAAGCUCUCCUAGCAUGAUCUAUUUUUCUCUGUUUCUCCCUUACAAUCCUCUGUGCGUCUCUAGAAGAGAAACAAGCUAGCCAAUGUGAGAGACAAUUAGCAUAAGCAUCCUACUCUUAUCUAUUUGCACAUAACCAAUGAGCAACGCAUACAUUAUAGCCAUAGACAUCUUUCCUUCAAGAACAGCUAGCUUUGCCCUUGUAGACCGUAGCUUGUUCUGGGCAUAUAUGAUUUCAUUCUCUUUGAACUCCCAAUCAUCAUUGAGGUUCUCCAAGUUUCCAGAUUUUAUCUCACUAUCCUACAUAAAAUCAUAAACCAAAAAUAAGUCAAAUGUUAAUCAUUUAUAGAAUCGCUACUAUUUUGAUCAGUCAAAUAGAGAGAGGAUUCUCGGUCCCAUCCGUUCAAACAAUCACACACGAAGAAAUGAAAACAUACGUUACCUUGCUUGUUCCAACUUCAUCAGGAGGAGGAGACCUAAGGGAUUGAAGAACAGAAGAAAGUUCUGACUGGAGAUUCUGAAGACGGCUUUUGAUAUGAGUCGUAUUUAUAUCUUCAGAGUAAGAUGCAGUUUUGUCUUUUCCGUUUGAAUCCUUAUUCGUAUCAUCCUUCUUUAGACCAACCAAGCUACUUGAAGAUAUUUCAGCAGCUGUACAAAUGUUAAUGGCUUUAGAUCUUUGUUUUACUGAAAUCAUUAUAUAUGGAAGAAGACAGAAAUCACUGGCAUACCUUCAAAAUCUUCAUCAGUAAAGCCAGCUCUCCUCAUACUCCAUGUUCUCCACGUUUCUGAUGUAGACGAAUUGUUUCCUGAAACUGGCUUGGCUUCUUGAUACCUACUUUGUCCAUAUUCACCUGAACUUCUACUAGCGUCGACAUCUUGAAACUCACUAGCUGUCUUUUGAGAAAAAAGGUAGGGAAACACCUCACGACAUAAACAGUUUAUUCUUAUGAAGUGAACAGCAAAGCUUAUAACAGACAAGAAAACAUACCACAAUAAUAGAAGAACGAGGAGGGGAACCAUUUAGGGUGAUAUCAUCAUACAUGGCACCAUUGCUUUCGCCUUUCCCACUCAAGUUUAUCCCUAGACUCAAAUUCCUUUCUUUCUCCAACCUGGUCAAUAUGCCUUCAAUCCCACUCUCAUUCUUACCAUCUACUUCUCUGAUAAAACAGAGCCUAUGUUAACUAACAUUCUCAAAAGGCAUAGAAUAAGAAGCAAUGUAAAUUUAGAGGACCCACUCUCUUGAAUAUGAGGCAUUCGAGGAAAGAUUACGAAGCUGUUUCUCAAUAGGCAAGUCCCCUAGCACGACGUUCUCUUUUACUCGGACCUCCUCUUCUUGUUGUUCAUCCAAGUCCCAUCCCAUUGAAAGCCAUCCACCUUGGUUUACGAUUCUCUCCACAAGAUCAAAUCUUUCAGAACGGAUUAAAUCCUUCUUGCUCGGAAACAUGCCAGGUUUAUCAGAAUUCUUCAUGAACUCCAAAAUCUCCGUUUCCAGAUCCUUAUCGCUAUCCCAUCCCAAAUCUUGGUUAUUGCACAUCCUCAGAACCCCACUACGCCUAAAGCAACAACCUUUCUUCCUCAGCUUGACCUCCAGAAACCAUUGAACAGGUCCACAACUUUUCCCAUCAGCUAAAAGACUCAAUUUCCCCGAACAAAUGGGAUUGAAGGAAGAAAAAGAGGAAAGAGGCAAAAGGGUAUCGGAAUCAAUCAGCGAAAGCCGUGGAGCAAAAGAAGAAACGGGGCCUGAGUUGAGAGAGACCAUCUUUGGAGCAUUUCGUCGAACAGUUUGUGUGCGCUCUCUAUCAAGCGGUCCUCAUAUCAAAGAGGAGAGAUGCUAAGAAGAAACCGUACUCGGAUUUGCCAAAUUCUCUGUGUUUCAAAUAAGGAAAUUCUCACAAAAGAAAAAACAAGAAAGUACGAGAAGAAGAAGAAGUCAUGUGACCGCACAAGAACCAAAGCUUUUCAAUCUGAAAAAACAUUAAAGGAGUAUGCUUUAUUCGGACGUUAAUCAAAUUCCAAAGAUCAAGUUGAGGUAAGUUUUCUUUAGAUUCUCAAUUUGUUUAUCCUUUUAUGGUUUUGUUUCAGGUUAUUUGGAAUACCACUUUCAAAGCAAGUGGCUUUUAGAAAAAAAAAAAAAAAAAAAAAUGGUGUAGUUGAUACAAUAUGUCCUUUGUUUUUUUGUUCUUGUUUUUUUGGCAACUUAAGUUGUUCUUCGUGUGAUAUGUUGAUGUUCAAAUGCUAUUGAAAUCAAAAUGUUCAUGUAUCGAUUUCAGGUUAAAUCUCUGAGUAAAAGAUAUUUUUUGGUUUUGUUGAUUUUUUAUUUAUUUAUAUAACUACGAAUGUGAAAUUGAUAGAUAGGGUAUGAAGGGUGUCGUAUUUCCUAACGUUCCUAAAGAAAAUUACCAUUUACAAUAAAUAAUUUUUUUUUCUCAUUCCCUACCAUUCUUUUUUUUUAGAGAAAUAAAUAACAAAAUUAUUCAUUGUUAAAUGCGAGAUGAAACAACUAUUCCUUUAAUUCUUCCAAUUUUAUUCAUCCACAUUAUUUGUUUCAUCUGGUCAACAAUUGACAUUUAAGCUCUUCAACCCAAAUAAGAAGUAAGCUCACAAAGACAUGAAGCUAGGCUUUAAUGCAAGACUUAUUCUUGGGUUUACCCACCCCCUAGGUGAAUUUCUAGGUUUACCAACCAAUAGAAUUGUAUUAUUUCAUAUUCGAUAUAUUUAAAAAAAAACAAAAUACUAUCAAACUAUAUUAUGUUUUUAAAAUAAAAAGAUAAAAAUAAUUAAUAAAAAUACUAGUAGUUAUAAAAAAAUAUUUUUAACGUCGUUAGCAAAACACUAAAUCCUAAACCCUAAAUCCUAAACCCUUGGAUAAAUCCUAAACUCUAAAUCAAAAACACUAAACACUAAAACACUCAAGGGUUUAUGAUUUGAAAAGGACUAGCACUAUUUGAUUUAUGAUAAUACAACAAAUUAGUUUGUGAAAUUGAAAAUAGACAACUCUUCUUAUCCGAAUCACGACCCAUGGCCAUGUUCAAAACUCAGCACAAUCUUUUGAAUGGCCACGUGUGCGGAUCAGAUGACUCAGAUCCAGAUAUUACCGCCAUCCACGUCAGUGUGGGACCUUUUAGUACAAAACACAUAGAUUUUCUCUGCAUUAAUAAUAGUUCCAGUCUCGAAUUAAGGUCAGACAGUCGACACGUGGCAAAUUAUGUUUGGAAGUGCUGAAGCAUUGGAGUUUUGUGGGUCCAUCGAUAUGUCAUGUCUCUCUCAACUUCUCACACAUGUGGACAGUGGAGUUACUAUGUGGGCCUUCAUCCGAUGUUAAGCCCAUUUAUCUUAAGCCCAAAAACACUAAUUAACUUUAGCCAGUUAGGUUCAAACUACGUCGUUUAGGUCACUGUGCUGAGCAUCAGAGACGGUCGAGUGAUGGCCGAACACGGUGGGAUAACUCCGGCUCCGGCCGAUGAAGAAGAACAAGUGUGGAGCUGGGGCGCAGGAACGGACGGCCAACUAGGGACUGCUAAGCUGAAAGACGAGCAUAUCCCGCAGCUUCUCUCGCUGACGUCACUUGCUUCCAUAUCCAUGCUCGCAUGUGGCGGCGCUCACGUCAUUGCCUUGACUUCUGGUAACCCUCCCUUCAAAUCUUCGAUUAAGUAUUCUUCUGAUCCGACAUUUAAAGUAUGUUUUUUUUUUUAAUUUGCAGGUGGUAAGGUGUUGACAUGGGGAAGGGGAAACUCUGGUCAAUUAGGACAUGGGGACAUGCUCGACUCUUCUUUGCCAAAACCAGUAUCUUUCUUCGACGACUAUGUUGUAACUCAAGCCUCAGCUGGAUGGAGCCACUCUGGUUUUGUUUCAGGUAGGUAAACUUAACAUGGAGGCUUGAAACUGCUUAGGAGACAAAGAGAUUGAUCUCCCUUUUGUGUUUUUUGUGUUAGAUUCUGGUUGCCUAUUCACUUGUGGAAAUGGCUCAUUUGGUCAGCUUGGUCAUGGUGAUAACAUGUCACUUUGCUCUCCAGCUAAAGUCUCUUACUUUGCCGAUAAGAGCGUGAAGAUGGUAGCUUGUGGUAUGCGCCACUCACUUGUCUUGUUCGCAGGUAAAACAUCUGACACUGCAUUCACUAGCUCUUCAAUAAAAGUUUGUUUUCUCAUUUUUGAUUUAUCUUGUCUUCUUCAGGAAAUCAAGUGUGCGGAUUCGGAUCUGGGAAACGCGGACAGCUUGGUUUCUCAUCAGACAAAACUAAGACACUAAUUAAUCUUCCAUGUCUUGUCUCUGGAUUAGAAGAUGUUGAGAUUGUUCGUAUAGCAGCCAAUGGAGAUCAUAGUGCAGCUAUAACCGGUUAACUCUUUAAGUCUCAUGUUCAGUUUCAUUGAUUGAUCGAAUCAUGUGUGUGUUUUGUUAAACUCGUAUUGCGAUGUGCUUAACCAGCUAAUGGACAAAUGUUCAGUUGGGGAAGAGGUUUCUGCGGCAGUCCUGAUGUUCAAGCCCCUCAGUGUUUACCCUCAUCUCAAUUCUUCAGAGAAGUUGCUUUAGGAUGGAGUCAUGCUUUAUUACUAACCGGUAAUUUCUGUUUAGAUGCAUGAGUUAGCUUCUGAUAGCUCAUUGAACUCAUUCCUCUGCUCAUGGACUUUGUUGAACAGUCGAUGGAGAAGUUUUCAAGCUUGGUAACACCCUUAAUAAACAAUCCGAGAAGCAACAACUGCAAGUAGAUCCGUCUGAACCUUUUUUGGAGAAAGUUCCAGGUUUUGAUGGAGUUAAAGUUAUGCAAAUUGCAGCAGGAGCAGAGCAUUCUGCUGCUUUAACAGGUGGCAAUUCAUCUCUUUGUUCUCCAGACUUUCUGAGUUAUAAACAAACAAACCUGUGAAUAUACCUUGCAGAGAAUGGAGAAGUUCAGACAUGUGGAUGGGGUGAACAUGGUCAGCUAGGUGUUGGAAACACCAAUGAUCAGAACAAUCCUCAACUCGUAAGCCUAGGAAGUAUAGACCAGCGGACGAGAGAUACCAAAGUAUAUUGCGGAAGUGGAUUUACAUAUGUAGUUCGGCGAAUACAAAAGCUUUCUUCAUCAUAGAAAUGGAUGUAUCAUAUCUCUAAUGUGUGUAACAUUGUACAAUGUGAGAAGUCAAUUAUUGGCAUUAUUCUCGUCAAGAGGAAUAGUCAUUACAAUGAUGAAAAUUGAGAUAUACAGAUUUUUUUCGUUUUUUUAAGAUUAUAAAAAACCUACAGCUAGCUCUACUGCUUUUCCCUGGCUAACCUUGCUCUACUUGAAAGUGAAAUUACAAAAGUAAACUAAAACCCUACUGAUUCAGCUCAAUGAUCCAUGGAUGGUGGGAUUAGCAAUGACCUCACGAGAUGAUGAGCAGAUUGUUUUCAUAUCCAUCACAAGUAACAAUGGGUCUAAGCGGGUCCACUUUCCACUGGCCAUCAACUAUGAACUUUAUCUGUGAAGAAAAUGUAGCGACUUUAAGAUUUGGUUUGUGGCUCAUAAACAUGUAUAAUAUUAGAUGCAGAUACUGUGUUUGAUUGAAUGAGCUAACCUGGUAUUUUCCAGGAUAUAGCUUCAGCGUCAAAGAGGAGACUCCGUUCUGUGCUUUCUUCAUUUUCCUCUGCUUCCAAAAUCAUAAAACAAAUUUAAGUAGAUGUGAAGGACUUUGUUUUAUCCUUUUUUUUUUCUUUUAUCGAUGUGAACUGACCUGGGUUGACCAACCGUCAAAUGAACCCGUUAGUAAAACUUCCGAGGCUGAGUUAGGCCAUACUAUGGAUGCAGUCCGGAGUAACCGUAAAGCUCUCCUAGCAUGAUCUAUUUUUCUCUGUUUCUCCCUUACAAUCCUCUGUGCAUCUCUAGAAGAGAAACAAGCUAGCCAAUGUGAGAGACAAUUAGCAUAAGCAUCCUACUCUUAUCUAUUUGCACAUAACCAAUGAGCAACGCAUACAUUAUAGCCAUAGACAUCUUUCCUUCAAGAACAGCUAGCUUUGCCCUUGUAGACCGUAGCUUGUUCUGGGCAUAUAUGAUUUCAUUCUCUUUGAACUCCCAAUCAUCAUUGAGGUUCUCCAAGUUUCCAGAUUUUAUCUCACUAUCCUACAUAAAAUCAUAAACCAAAAAUAAGUCAAAUGUUAAUCAUUUAUAGAAUCGCUACUAUUUUGAUCAGUCAAAUAGAGAGAGGAUUCUCGGUCCCAUCCGUUCAAACAAUCACACACGAAGAAAUGAAAACAUACGUUACCUUGCUUGUUCCAACUUCAUCAGGAGGAGGAGACCUAAGGGAUUGAAGAACAGAAGAAAGUUCUGACUGGAGAUUCUGAAGACGGCUUUUGAUAUGAGUCGUAUUUAUAUCUUCAGAGUAAGAUGCAGUUUUGUCUUUUCCGUUUGAAUCCUUAUUCGUAUCAUCCUUCUUUAGACCAACCAAGCUACUUGAAGAUAUUUCAGCAGCUGUACAAAUGUUAAUGGCUUUAGAUCUUUGUUUUACUGAAAUCAUUAUAUAUGGAAGAAGACAGAAAUCACUGGCAUACCUUCAAAAUCUUCAUCAGUAAAGCCAGCUCUCCUCAUACUCCAUGUUCUCCACGUUUCUGAUGUAGACGAAUUGUUUCCUGAAACUGGCUUGGCUUCUUGAUACCUACUUUGUCCAUAUUCACCUGAACUUCUACUAGCGUCGACAUCUUGAAACUCACUAGCUGUCUUUUGAGAAAAAAGGUAGGGAAACACCUCACGACAUAAACAGUUUAUUCUUAUGAAGUGAACAGCAAAGCUUAUAACAGACAAGAAAACAUACCACAAUAAUAGAAGAACGAGGAGGGGAACCAUUUAGGGUGAUAUCAUCAUACAUGGCACCAUUGCUUUCGCCUUUCCCACUCAAGUUUAUCCCUAGACUCAAAUUCCUUUCUUUCUCCAACCUGGUCAAUAUGCCUUCAAUCCCACUCUCAUUCUUACCAUCUACUUCUCUGAUAAAACAGAGCCUAUGUUAACUAACAUUCUCAAAAGGCAUAGAAUAAGAAGCAAUGUAAAUUUAGAGGACCCACUCUCUUGAAUAUGAGGCAUUCGAGGAAAGAUUACGAAGCUGUUUCUCAAUAGGCAAGUCCCCUAGCACGACGUUCUCUUUUACUCGGACCUCCUCUUCUUGUUGUUCAUCCAAGUCCCAUCCCAUUGAAAGCCAUCCACCUUGGUUUACGAUUCUCUCCACAAGAUCAAAUCUUUCAGAACGGAUUAAAUCCUUCUUGCUCGGAAACAUGCCAGGUUUAUCAGAAUUCUUCAUGAACUCCAAAAUCUCCGUUUCCAGAUCCUUAUCGCUAUCCCAUCCCAAAUCUUGGUUAUUGCACAUCCUCAGAACCCCACUACGCCUAAAGCAACAACCUUUCUUCCUCAGCUUGACCUCCAGAAACCAUUGAACAGGUCCACAACUUUUCCCAUCAGCUAAAAGACUCAAUUUCCCCGAACAAAUGGGAUUGAAGGAAGAAAAAGAGGAAAGAGGCAAAAGGGUAUCGGAAUCAAUCAGCGAAAGCCGUGGAGCAAAAGAAGAAACGGGGCCUGAGUUGAGAGAGACCAUCUUUGGAGCAUUUCGUCGAACAGUUUGUGUGCGCUCUCUAUCAAGCGGUCCUCAUAUCAAAGAGGAGAGAUGCUAAGAAGAAACCGUACUCGGAUUUGCCAAAUUCUCUGUGUUUCAAAUAAGGAAAUUCUCACAAAAGAAAAAACAAGAAAGUACGAGAAGAAGAAGAAGUCAUGUGACCGCACAAGAACCAAAGCUUUUCAAUCUGAAAAAACAUUAAAGGAGUAUGCUUUAUUCGGACGUUAAUCAAAUUCCAAAGAUCAAGUUGAGGUAAAGUUUCUUUAGAUUCUCAAUUUGUUUAUCCUUUUAUGGUUUUGUUUCAGGUUAUUUGGAAUACCACUUUCAAAGCAAGUGGCUUUUAGAAAAAAAAAAAAAAAAAAAGGCAAAAACUCUGUUUUCUCCACAGCCUCUCAUAGACCAUGAGCUCACGUCUCGGUCUAUUUGGAUGAACAUGUAAAAGCCAUGUUCUGACUAUCUGAAAUGGCUCUCAUGGAGAGAAAAGGGAUCAUAUUGAUUGAUGGCUACAAAAGAAAAACAGAAGUUCAUAACAUAACACCAAAGAGUAAUUGACAAAAGUUCCAAACCCAAACAAGGACAUGCACCCAAAAGUCAACAAGGCAGAAAGGCUAAGACGCAACAGUUACGUUUGAGUCUUGGUUGUUGUUGUUGUUGUAUGAAUGGCCGUUUCCUCCACCACCACCACGUCCCCUUCCUCUGUUGUUGUAGUGGCUCCUUUGGUAACCGUUUCCACCCGAAUUGUCAUAAGAUUCAUACCUCCCAUUCGAGUAUCCUCCACCACCACCUCGACCUCCCCGGGGGGCGUUGGAAUGACCUCUUCUAGCACCUCUAUGACCUCUCUGGUUCUGGUGGGUUCCACGUGGUACAUACUGUUGCUGAUAAUCUCUCUUUGACCUCCCUCCUUCCACCUGAGUAUAUCCUUGUUCCUGCUGUCCUUGGACCAACUCUCCUUCCGUCACUGACUCAUCCUUCAAACCCCAAAUAUAUAAAAAAAAAAAAAUCAACAAAUUCAGCCUAGAGCAAUCGAUUUAUAAAGAUGCUUUUAAAAGCUCCACAUUUCACUGGAUUACCUUUGGUUGCUCAGAUUGAUCAUUAACAGCAGGUUCUUGUUCUUUAAUGUUUGAUGCGUCUUCUUCCUGCAACCAGAUGAACAUCAGUCCCACGGAAAGAAAGAGAACAAUGGAUACACAAGCGAAGGAUGUAUGUUCUCUACAUCACAUAACUAGACACUCAAGAGAAACAUGUCUUAAACAUUCGCCACAGUGAAGAAAAAUACUGUCACGGUUAUUAAUCACUACUCACAUGAAUAAACCAGAAUAUAUUAACAACUCGUAGAGCAGAGUUCUCAAAGACCAUAAAAUUAAUGUAACAAUCAACUUAACAAUGUACUUCUCUAUCCUGAUCACACAAAGCACAAGCCUAGAGCCUAGACAAACUCUGACUCCUACACAAAAGAAACUCGAUCUGGGAUCACUAGUCUCCUCCUUGGGAUCAAAUUAGAGCUUAGCAUCUCAUAACAGAAAGAACAACAUGCAUUCGACCUAUGAAAUUCACUAACAAUUUGAUAACAAACAAAGAACUAGCAAUAAGCAGUUUAGCUUUGAAAAGAAUGUGUUAUGAAACAAAACAGCAAUGCAACCUAAAAAAAAGUCACACACAAACGAAGAAAGAGAAUUCAGAUGAUCAAAGCAUUUCAAUGAUAACCACUGAGAGCUCCCUCUCCAACUCAAAACCUAACCUAAAAAGGUGAAUACCUACCUUUUGCUCAGUGUCAGCAGCGACUUGGAAAGCACCGUAGUUACCAGCAGCAGCUGCAGACGCUGCUUCAACAGGAGCAACCAUCUCAGGAGUAAUAGUGAAGUAAUUAGAACCCAUAAUCUUCUUCAACUUCUCUCUCAGUCCAGCAUCUGAAACACCACAAAUCCCAAUAAGUAAAAACUAAAACAAACACGUAGCAAAAGAAGCAAACUAACUUUUGGAUUUUUCUUACAUGAAACAUUGCAGUUGGAAGCAAUCGGCUGGUUCGAGUUAGCCAACCAAAGCUUAGCAUGCUCGACGCAACGCUCCAAAGCGUUCUUGUGAGACAAGAACGAAUCCGCAGGCCUGGAUACCAUCAUAGUCCACAGCUCGGAAAUCAAAUCCAGAUCCUUAUCACAUAGCAGAUCCGUGGACUCAUCCGUAACCGUAUCGUAAACCAAACAGCAACCUCUCUCGUGCGUCCUCGUCAGCAUAAUCGAAGCCAACUCGUUCUGCGACUUCACGUCGAAGAGCGAGCCAAAGUACAAGAGAUUCACCAAAUCCUCCAACUUCUUCGCUUCUUCCUCCUCGGGAGCGUCAGCUACUUCGUUUUGAUCGGGGGGAGCUUGAUUGUGGUGGUGGAGGUGGUGAGUAGUGGCCAGGGUGAUUUCUUCGGAGACGGCGGCGGAGAGAGGAGCGCGGAGCUUGUCGAGCUCUUCGAUGAGGACGAGGACGGACGGUUUGGAGCGGAGGACUUCUUGUUGCUCCUUGUUUAGGGUUUUCCCCUGAGAGAUCGAUUCUUCCAUUUGAGUGAUUCGGUUGAGUUUCUUGCGGAGGGCGCGGAGACGCUUGUUGAUGAGUCCCAUCACUGGUCCUUCGCUGGCGUCUGAGGAAGAUGUCGCUGUCGCUGUCGCAGUAGCGGUAGGUGCCAUGGUGUUGGAUUUGUGUAGGAGAUCGAUUUAAUCGGCGGAGAAAGUGACCACCGUUGAACAGCGGCGGUGAAGAAAUGAGAGAGAAGAGGAAGAGGAAGAGGAUGAUUAGGGUUUUUCUGAGAGAUGUAAGUGACUGCUAUGUGUUCUUAAAUAUAUUGGAUAAUUGAUACUGAAAAAGAUAAAAUCAAUGAACCGAAAUUACUCCCUUAAUUUCUAAACUAUUUUUUCGCGGAUUAGAUUUUUAAAAAAUUAUUAUGUAUCAAUUUAGGUGGUUCUUGGAAAUAACAUACGAAAGUUUAACAAAAUUUAUUUCUUACAGAUGAAGAUACACUUUCUUUUCCUCUUAUUUUUCUUCUUUUCUCCAAAGAGAGUAUUUUAAUCAAGUAUAUGAGAAAAUAAGAUAUUUGUAUAGUGGAUAAUGCCAUUAGCAUUUUUGAAUGAUUGUUGUGGAAAUACUUGCUUCUCCGGCUUUUAGCUGAUUUUUUAGUACAAUAUGCAUACGGUCAUGCAUUCGAUUGUUUUUUAUUGUACAAUUUAAUUUUUCAGGGUAGUGAUGCUCGCAUUUGACUUCAUGGUUGAGCAUUUGUAUUUCUCUGGAGUCUUGUGUGUUGGGGGUUGUUGUAGGAAAUCAAUGGAAAUUCAGCCGACAUGAAUUAACAUUUCUGGUACAGCGUAACAUGAUGUUCUAACGUUUACACAUACUCCAAUUUUUCAAGAUACUCCUUUUCAUUUACCAGUAAGUACUAAGUAGUAACUAUGAUUUAUUGUACAUAGGAAAAACAAAACAAUACUCGUUCCUGUCGAAUGCAUGCUCCUACAAAUAACAAUCCAAAUGCUCGUUUACAAAAUGAAAUCGUUUAUUUACAACAAGAAAAACGAACAACUUGGUCUAUAUUCACCAAAAAGAAUGUAUAAGCAUUUUUUUCUAUUAUCAAAACUCUAUACUGCAUUUUUUCACAUAUCAACUCAUACUGUAGAGCAAGCAAUGCUCAUGGUGCGACGUCUUUUAUCUCCGUUACCAAGAGUCUCGUACCAUCUACCAAUCUUAUUGUCUUAUAGACCUUUUAUAAGGUUCAUAUCAUAAUGCUCCACCAAAACACUCACCACACGAGAAGACAAUCACUGGUCUAGAGGCUAGCACUGGAGGGUACCAAAAUGACAUGCAGUGUUCCAUUGUUAGGAGGAAGUUGCAAACGAAGGGGAAACAGCUUGCCGUUUAAUGGACUGCGAGUGCACACCACAGCGUCCUCCAUGCACGUUUCUUCUCGCAACGUCUGAGUCAGCUCCGCCACGCUGUUCCCUUUAAACGUGAAAGCAUAUCCAACGCUCGAUUCAUCCUCCACGUGUCCUUCAUCGUCAGCGAUGUGGUAGUAUAUCGUUCUCCCAUCCGAUUUCGGUGGAGACACAACCGACUGGUCAAAACCAAAGUUCAUGUCAGGAGGGUAAUUAUAAACAAAAUUUGAGGGUAUUUCAGUAAUUAGCAAUAGUAACUCACAUCUUGUUCGGAUCUCUCUGAAAGAGAAGACGGAGUCCUCGAUGGCCUCCUAUGCGGUGGUGGCUGCGUCUUCACCGGCGGAGGCUGCGUCUUCGGUGACGGAGUGAACUCAGUCUCCGCCGUGACUUGAGGAUUAACCAAGAUCUCAACAACAUCAACCUCCCACGAGAUGGAAUCCUGAGUAGCCGACAAAUGAGGAUUGUCGUGCGUCACCGAGUUUCUCCACGGCGGAAGACCACCGUUACCUCGUAGAUAGUUACCGUAUCUCGUCCUGAGCUUAAUCUUGGAUCCUUCUCUAACUGGUUCCCACUCAACAGACGAGUCGAGACGACUCGGUUUUAGCUGAAUCACUUUCUUCCCGGUAGCUCCGAGCAAGAACCGCUCGUUCGAAGCGGUUAGGUAUUUACCGUAACAGCUUUUGAGACGGAUCACGUGGUACGAAUCGCGAACCGGUUCGACGGUCCAUCGAGCGCUUUUGUUUGAUCCGUUUCGGGCUUGUGUCCGUGGCAAGUGGCUUUUUAAAACUAAAAAAGGGUCGAAAAACUCUUUUAUCCAAAGACUCUCAUCGACCAUGAGCUCACGUCUCAGUUAGUGCUGUUUGGAUGAGAACACCUAAACCCAUAUUUGACUAUCUGAAAUGGCUCUCAUGGAGAGAAAAGGGAUCAUAUUGAUUGAUGGCUACAAAAGAAAAACAGAAGUUCAUAACACCAAAGAGCACUUGACAAAAGUUCGAAACCCAAACAAGGACACGCACCCAAAAGUCAACAAGGCAGAAAAGCUAAGACGCAACAGUUACGUUUGAGUCUUGGUUGUUGUUGUUGUUGUAUGAAUGGCCGUUUCCUCCACCACCACCACGUCCCCUUCCUCUGUUGUUGUAGUGGCUCCUUUGGUAACCGUUUCCACCCGAAUUGUCAUAAGAUUCAUACCUCCCAUUCGAGUAUCCUCCACCACCACCACCUCGACCUCCCCGGGGGGCAUUGGAAUGACCUCUUCUAGCACCUCUAUGACCUCUCUGGUUCUGGUGGGUUCCACGAGGUACAUACUGUUGCUGAUAAUCUCUCUUUGACCUCCCUCCUUCCACCUGAGUAUAUCCUUGUUCCUGCUGUCCUUGGACCAACUCUCCUUCCGUCACUGACUCAUCCUUCAAACCCCAAAUAUAUAAAAAAAAAAAAAUCAACAAAUUCAGCCUAGAGCAAUCGAUUUAUAAAGAUGCUUUUAAAAGCUCCACAUUUCACUGGAUUACCUUUGGUUGCUCAGAUUGAUCAUUAACAGCAGGUUCUUGUUCUUUAAUGUUUGAUGCGUCUUCUUCCUGCAACCAGAUGAACAUCAGUCCCACGGAAAGAAAGAGAACAAUGGAUACACAAGCGAAGGAUGUAUGUUCUCUACAUCACAUAACUAGACACUCAAGAGAAACAUGUCUUAAACAUUCGCCACAGUGAAGAAAAAUACUGUCACGGUUAUUAAUCACUACUCACAUGAAUAAACCAGAAUAUAUUAACAACUCGUAGAGCAGAGUUCUCAAAGACCAUAAAAUUAAUGUAACAAUCAACUUAACAAUGUACUUCUCUAUCCUGAUCACACAAAGCACAAGCCUAGAGCCUAGACAAACUCUGACUCCUACACAAAAGAAACUCGAUCUGGGAUCACUAGUCUCCUCCUUGGGAUCAAAUUAGAGCUUAGCAUCUCAUAACAGAAAGAACAACAUGCAUUCGACCUAUGAAAUUCACUAACAAUUUGAUAACAAACAAAGAACUAGCAAUAAGCAGUUUAGCUUUGAAAAGAAUGUGUUAUGAAACAAAACAGCAAUGCAACCUAAAAAAAAGUCACACACAAACGAAGAAAGAGAAUUCAGAUGAUCAAAGCAUUUCAAUGAUAACCACUGAGAGCUCCCUCUCCAACUCAAAACCUAACCUAAAAAGGUGAAUACCUACCUUUUGCUCAGUGUCAGCAGCGACUUGGAAAGCACCGUAGUUACCAGCAGCAGCUGCAGACGCUGCUUCAACAGGAGCAACCAUCUCAGGAGUAAUAGUGAAGUAAUUAGAACCCAUAAUCUUCUUCAACUUCUCUCUCAAUCCAGCAUCUGAAACACACAAAUCCCAUUAACUAAAAACCAAACCAAAACUGAAACAAACAAACUUUGGAUUUUUAUUACAUGAAACAUUGCAGUUGGAAGCAAUGGGCUGGUCCGAGCUAGCCAACCAAAGCUUAGCAUGCUCGACGCAACGCUCCAAAGCGUUCUUGUGAGACAAGAACGAAUCCGCAGGCCUGGAUACCAUCAUAGUCCACAGCUCGGAAAUCAAAUCCAGAUCCUUAUCACAUAGCAGAUCCGUGGACUCAUCCGUAACCGUAUCGUAAACCAAACAGCAACCUCUCUCGUGCGUCCUCGUCAGCAUAAUCGAAGCCAACUCGUUCUGCGACUUCACGUCGAAGAGCGAGCCAAAGUACAACAGAUUCACCAAAUCCUCCAACUUCUUCGCUUCUUCCUCCUCGGGAGCGUCAGCUACUUCGUUUUGAUCGGGGGGAGCUUGAUUGUGGUGGUGGAGGUGGUGAGUAGUGGCCAGGGUGAUUUCUUCGGAGACGGCGGCGGAGAGAGGAGCGCGGAGCUUGUCGAGCUCUUCGAUGAGGACGAGGACGGACGGUUUGGAGCGGAGGACUUCUUGUUGCUCCUUGUUUAGGGUUUUCCCCUGAGAGAUCGAUUCUUCCAUUUGAGUGAUUCGGUUGAGUUUCUUGCGGAGGGCGCGGAGACGUUUGUUGAUGAGUCCCAUCACUGGUCCUUCGCUGGCGUCUGAGGAAGCUGUCGCAGUCGCAGUCGCUGUAGCGGUAGGUGCCAUGGUGUUGGAUUUGUGUAGGAGAUCGGUUUGAUCGGCGGAGAAAGUGACCACCGUUGAACAGCGGCGGUGAAGAAAUGAGAGAGAAGAGGAAGAGGAAGAGGAUGAUUAGGGUUUUUCUGAGAGAUGUAAGUGACUGCUAUGUGUUCUUAAAUAUAUUGGAUAAUUGAUACUGAAAAAGAUAAAAUCAAUGAACCGAAAUUACUCCCUUAAUUUCUAAACUAUUUUUUCGCGGAUUAGAUUUUUAAAAAAUUAUUAUGUAUCAAUUUAGGUGGUUCUUGGAAAUAACAUACGAAAGUUUAACAAAAUUUAUUUCUUACAGAUGAAGAUACACUUUCUUUUCCUCUUAUUUUUCUUCUUUUCUCCAAAGAGAGUAUUUUAAUCAAGUAUAUGAGAAAAUAAGAUAUUUGUAUAGUGGAUAAUGCCAUUAGCAUUUUUGAAUGAUUGUUGUGGAAAUACUUGCUUCUCCGGCUUUUAGCUGAUUUUUUAGUACAAUAUGCAUACGGUCAUGCAUUCGAUUGUUUUUUAUUGUACAAUUUAAUUUUUCAGGGUAGUGAUGCUCGCAUUUGACUUCAUGGUUGAGCAUUUGUAUUUCUCUGGAGUCUUGUGUGUUGGGGGUUGUUGUAGGAAAUCAAUGGAAAUUCAGCCGACAUGAAUUAACAUUUCUGGUACAGCGUAACAUGAUGUUCUAACGUUUACACAUACUCCAAUUUUUCAAGAUACUCCUUUUCAUUUACCAGUAAGUACUAAGUAGUAACUAUGAUUUAUUGUACAUAGGAAAAACAAAACAAUACUCGUUCCUGUCGAAUGCAUGCUCCUACAAAUAACAAUCCAAAUGCUCGUUUACAAAAUGAAAUCGUUUAUUUACAACAAGAAAAACGAACAACUUGGUCUAUAUUCACCAAAAAGAAUGUAUAAGCAUUUUUUUCUAUUAUCAAAACUCUAUACUGCAUUUUUUCACAUAUCAACUCAUACUGUAGAGCAAGCAAUGCUCAUGGUGCGACGUCUUUUAUCUCCGUUACCAAGAGUCUCGUACCAUCUACCAAUCUUAUUGUCUUAUAGACCUUUUAUAAGGUUCAUAUCAUAAUGCUCCACCAAAACACUCACCACACGAGAAGACAAUCACUGGUCUAGAGGCUAGCACUGGAGGGUACCAAAAUGACAUGCAGUGUUCCAUUGUUAGGAGGAAGUUGCAAACGAAGGGGAAACAGCUUGCCGUUUAAUGGACUGCGAGUGCACACCACAGCGUCCUCCAUGCACGUUUCUUCUCGCAACGUCUGAGUCAGCUCCGCCACGCUGUUCCCUUUAAACGUGAAAGCAUAUCCAACGCUCGAUUCAUCCUCCACGUGUCCUUCAUCGUCAGCGAUGUGGUAGUAUAUCGUUCUCCCAUCCGAUUUCGGUGGAGACACAACCGACUGGUCAAAACCAAAGUUCAUGUCAGGAGGGUAAUUAUAAACAAAAUUUGAGGGUAUUUCAGUAAUUAGCAAUAGUAACUCACAUCUUGUUCGGAUCUCUCUGAAAGAGAAGACGGAGUCCUCGAUGGCCUCCUAUGCGGUGGUGGCUGCGUCUUCACCGGCGGAGGCUGCGUCUUCGGUGACGGAGUGAACUCAGUCUCCGCCGUGACUUGAGGAUUAACCAAGAUCUCAACAACAUCAACCUCCCACGAGAUGGAAUCCUGAGUAGCCGACAAAUGAGGAUUGUCGUGCGUCACCGAGUUUCUCCACGGCGGAAGACCACCGUUACCUCGUAGAUAGUUACCGUAUCUCGUCCUGAGCUUAAUCUUGGAUCCUUCUCUAACUGGUUCCCACUCAACAGACGAGUCGAGACGACUCGGUUUUAGCUGAAUCACUUUCUUCCCCGUAGCUCCAAGCAAGAACCGCUCGUUCGAAGCGGUUAGGUAUUUACCGUAACAGCUUUUGAGACGGAUUACGUGGUACGAAUCGCGAACCGGUUCGACGGUCCAUCGAGCGUUUUUGGUUGAUCCGUUUCGGUCUUGUGUCACUGUUUCCUCGUCGUCGUCUGCGGAUAGAUACUUGUUGUGGCUGUUACGCAUUCGAAUGGCUUUAGCUUUCUGGAAAAACUCCAUUGCUGAGACUGUUUCGUUUUGGUUUAAGCUACUCGUCUUCUCCUUUUGGUUGAAGCUACUCGCUUUCUGUUAAAAAAAAAAUGAGUGUGGGAAUAUGUAAGAAGUGGUGAAGAUGCGGUUUGUGUUUAUAUGUGCAUCUUUCUCUCUGUCCUUGGUCUGGUCUAACUUUUUGUAGUAACGCGGACAUUACACGGGACUAGUCAGAGACGCAUGAAAAUUGAAAAGUCAGAGUUUGCUGAUUGGAUUUACCGCGUUUUAAUUUCCACGUCAGCACAGUGUAAUAGCAUGUUUUUAUUCUGUUAAUGUGUCUUAAUUUCAAAGUAGUACAAAUGCAAUGUUACUACUACAUUUCUGGAUUGGCAUCCUGAAAAAGAGUUAAUGAUGAGAAUCCUACUAUCUAUAUUUUACUUUGUAUUCAAGACCAAAUCGGGACUUCGCAUUUCUUUUACUUUUCAAAACUACUCCAAGAGAAGUUUAAGGAGUAUAAAUUUUCUUUUAAUACAAAGUUGGAUUCAGGUUCUCCAAGAGAAGUUUAAACAGAAUACUGGGAGUCAGUGUAGAAUAUCAAAGGUUAAUCUUUUUUUGGAUCAAAUCAAAGGUUAAUCUAAAAAUCAUUGAUAAAGUGGUAAACUUUAACUAAAUUACAGUUGGAAUGGGACUAUUUGUAUUUUUUUAAUGAAAAGAUGAUAGAGAUAGGUAACCUAUUUUCCACAAAAAAACACCAUGUUAUUUUACCAUUUUCCAAGAGAUCAUCUUAAGUUUUCAUGUUAUCAGCAUUGGUGAAAUUUUGUAAGAGUUUUCAUGUUAUCAGCAUUGGUGAAAUUUUGUAAGAGUCUUCUUGUUAUAAUAAAUAAAUAAAUAAAACUGAAGAAAGAAAAACAUAGUCUUUCAAAUCAAUUUUUUUUGGCAAAAGUUACAUGUCAAUUGUUCCAUGUACUUGAAAUAUUAUUUUAGAAACUUAAUAUAACUUUUAUUGAUAAUGAUGCUUUUAGAAAUUUAGUCAUGUAGUUUUCGAUGGUACAUCAAAAACAAACAUAGCAACUGUUUUAUCAAGUUCCAUUAAUAGCUUAAGAUUUGAUACGAUGAUAUAUAUAUAUAUAUAUUUUUUUUUUCUGAAACACUGAUACAAUGAUAUAUACAUAUAUAUAAUAUUCCGUUUAAGUUUAGAACUUAGGAAUGUAAGGUAAAGGUGGUAUAGACAUUAAACCUAAAUGUGAAAUAAUGGAAAAAUAUAAUACAUAGUUUCUAACAAAAUAAAAUGCAUUUGUAUACCUUUCUCGCUCAAAAUGUAAUAUACUAAUAUUGUAUUGGGUUGUUGUUGUUUUUUUCUUUCUCUUUUUUGUUGUAAUAAGUUGCUUGCAUUGUAAACUUUUGAAAAAGAAAAUGGUACUAAAAUUUUAACAUUUUACCAAGAAAAAUGUAAUACUGUCUCUAUGCCAUAAAGAGAUUUGAAAAAGAGGAUUUAAAGGAAUGCUUAUAGAAUAAGUGUCUAGUCUCUUGCCCGCAAGAAAGACCAAGAAAAAAGGAAAUUCAUGAGUGUGGGACUCUCCUAACUGCUUCCUUCCUUGGACCAUAUGGUCCCACAGUCCAUGCCAUUACAAAUAAAUCAUAACUAAACCAACUUUUUCACCAUACUUUGUUUCCACGUGUCUUGUGUUAGCUGAGAUUAGAUUUAUUUAUAUGAAGCCAUUAGGUGUAAGUUUUAAAUGUUGGCCUAAAAGAUUAGGUAUAAAAAAAUUCUUAAUCAUCCUAUAUAGGUACGUAUAAUUGUUUUAAGAACUUUUACUGUCACUUACAUGUUACUAACUUUAGCUGGAUUUCAAAUGUCAUAUUUUCAACUGUUGUAGUUUCUAUAGUGAAUUAUAAAAUAAGAAGUUGUUCUAAGUAAACUACACAUUUAAUUAAUAUAAGAUAUAAUAAAAAAUAUGAAAUUUCUGAGUGCUAUUAGGUUGGUGGAACGAUGUAUGUGCUUGUGGAGCACUCACUAUAUAUGUUAGUGGAGAAAAGAAUCAUAUAUAGUUUCCAAGUUUCUAUAACACUAAAUAUUAGUAUGGUAAUUUAUCCUCCAUUUUUCUAUCUAAUGCAUGCCAACCAAAAUUGGGCUGAGUCCAGCUAACUAUAAUAACUUUCUAUGGUACACUUAAUUAAGAAACAACUAUUCAAUGCACAAUGUAAAUGAAAAUUGAUAAGUAAAGACUUAGUCAAACUUACCGGUUUUGAGGACCAUCUCGGAGACAUUGAACUCAAACCAAGAGAAGCGAACCGAUCAAUACUCUUCAUUGACCUGGCGGAAACGGGCGACGCAGGCUCUGACCCGAGAUCCGACCCGGAGAUAUGUGAAGAAACCGGAGAAGAAACAGAGCUCUCAUCUCCAGCAGACAUGUUUUCAAGAUCAGAACCAUCAACUGUAAUAACAUCCCAAACCAACCAGUUCUUGGUCUUCGAUGUAUGAGGCUCGUCGUGAGUAACGGAGUUUCUCCACGGCGGUGUUCCUCCGUUAGCCCUCAUCCAUUUACCGCACCAAGACUUCAGCUUCACCGAGAAACCAUCUCGCACCGGUUCCCACUGCGUUUGCCAAUCCAUAGGCUUGUUAGACGAGUGCGUUUGAGUCACUUUCUCACCGGUCAUACCUAACAGCAACGGUUUAUUGCUCGCCGUUAAGUAGGUGCCGUGACUGCUUUUUAACCUUAUCAGAUUCGGUUUAGCCUCAACAGUCUCUACCGUCCAUACGGCUCGCCGUGCAUCUCCUUUACGACUUUGACGGAUGGUUUCUUGAUCGUCGUCGGCGACUAGAAACUUAUCCAGGUGGCUCCUUAACUUAACGGCUUCUCCUUUGGUGAAUAGCUCCAUUUCUUUGAUGUUUGAAGAAGAGGCAAAAGAUCAAACUAGCAGAAAAUAAACUUUUGUGAUGAAAGGAUGUCUGAAUUAUGAAUGGACUGCUUUUAUGGUUAUAUAGAUAAAUGAUUUUAAAUGGGACAUAGAGUCCUUGCUAAAAGGGAACUAUUGUAAGUUAAUAUUCGGAGUAUUAUUCGGCUUGAAAUUAUAUAGAAAUUUCCCAAAUCAAAUGACGAAAUGACUAUUAAUAAAAUAUUAAACAGUAUAGAAAUGUAAUAUUUAAUUUGCAGAAGGUUCCACUUUGCGUAACUAAAUGUAUUUGUACAUGUCGACAAAAAAAAUGUAUUUGUACAUUUGGCCUCACGCGCGUGAAUUGCGUGAUGUGAAUAUUUCACAAGAAAAUGUCUCACGUUACGGUUUUCAAUGUUUGUUUUCAUUCCAUCUAGACCGGUAUACACUUCAAGUCAUCAUAUACUACGAUGCAACCAAAUGUUUGUGUUUCCAUUAUGUCUUCAUUUGUUUGGUUUGCACUACUGGCAUGUUGAUGAAAGAUCAGUGUAGUUAAACUAUCUUAAACGUAGCUCUUGGCCUUCUUUUUAUUUUCCAAAGUGCUUAUAAACUUCAUAAUCAGAUUAAAAGUAUAUAUUAAUAGAGAGAAUCGAUAAUUAUAACGUUCAUAAUAUAUGUUGUGAAUAGAAUGUUCAUAUUAUAUAUUUUGAACCAAUAAAGAAAAAAAAUGGAAACAAUGGAAAAUGAGAGAAGAUGAGGAGAGGUAACUGUAGUGCGCGUGGGCGUAUGUUGUAUUUAUUUUCCACGAACCAAACAAAGUCAAUAGAAGACUUAUUAUGAAUAUUUAAGAUUCGUACAUGUCUAAACACAGUUGAAUACAUAGAUACAAACAUUACCGUAUAAUACGUGUGUAUCAUAUCUUUUCUUGGAAAAGUAUAAUUAAUGUUAGACUUGGAUUCUUUUGGGUUCUUUUUGUCAACAUGCUCUAGUUGAGCUUUUCUUAAUCCUAAUCGUUGGCUUUUGUUGCCACGUCAGGCUGUGGAAGAAACGGUCUUAGUUUGUUCUCCCAACACCAAAUAUAUGGCUCUCUUAAAAUUCAUGACACUUCAAAUUCGUAGGGCGAUGAUGCAUCAUGAAUCAUGCUGGAAAGAAGAUGAUAGAAGCUCUUCAAUUUCCUUUGCAAUUUGUAAGCAAUACUUAGACCAAGUCGAUUUAAUCUUAAACAUCGAUAAUGUGAACUUCCAAGAAUGUCUAUUAUUCUUGGUCAAACGGCAAAUUUACAUAGAAUGAUAACGGUCAACUUUUACAUUGACCAUAAUGAUUCAAACUAUAUUAAACAACACGCAAAAACAUGUCUAGAAGAUAACAAGGCUUUUCGGUGCAAUCAAACAAACUUGAAAUAUGAAGAUUCCAAUGCUUUUGGUUUUUCACAUGCGGUAUAAGCGUCUGGCCUUGCGUUCUGUGGCGUAACUCUUCUCCUACCACAAUUGUGAACAUUAAUCUCUCCACGUAAAGGUAGAUGUGUCCUGAAUCAACAAAAUUUGGUCAUAUAUAUCAUAUCUGACUUAAAGAACACCAGUAAACGCCACAAGAGUUGGCUAAAAAAAAACUGAAUAAGAGUGUUUUUGGGAGUGUACCAGUGGAUGAUUGGCCGGUGAGUAACAACAAUUUGUACCAGAUUUCAUUAAAAACAUCAAUCGUAAAUACGAUGCUCCAGUAACCUAUUUGAUCACAAAAGAGAGUAUAAUUUCUUCUGUUUUCUUCAAUAGAUAUUGAUUUGAAUUGACAUAUUACCUUGUAGUCAGCAGCGUCAAAGUCUGGACCGAGCAGUUCUAGAGCUUUUUUUGUAGUUGCCACUGGAUCGUGGUGGUGAGUAGUGGCGAGGGUGAUUUCUUCGGAGACGGCGGCGGAGAGAGGAGCGCGGAGCUUGUCGAGCUCUUCGAUGAGGACGAGGACGGACGGUUUGGAGCGGAGGACUUCUUGUUGCUCCUUGUUUAGGGUUUUCCCCUGAGAGAUCGAUUCUUCCAUUUGAGUGAUUCGGUUGAGUUUCUUGCGGAGGGCGCGGAGACGCUUGUUGAUGAGUCCCAUCACUGGUCCUUCGCUGGCGUCUGAGGAAGAUGUCGCUGUCGCUGUCGCAGUAGCGGUAGGUGCCAUGGUGUUGGAUUUGUGUAGGAGAUCGAUUUAAUCGGCGGAGAAAGUGACCACCGUUGAACAGCGGCGGUGAAGAAAUGAGAGAGAAGAGGAAGAGGAAGAGGAUGAUUAGGGUUUUUCUGAGAGAUGUAAGUGACUGCUAUGUGUUCUUAAAUAUAUUGGAUAAUUGAUACUGAAAAAGAUAAAAUCAAUGAACCGAAAUUACUCCCUUAAUUUCUAAACUAUUUUUUCGCGGAUUAGAUUUUUAAAAAAUUAUUAUGUAUCAAUUUAGGUGGUUCUUGGAAAUAACAUACGAAAGUUUAACAAAAUUUAUUUCUUACAGAUGAAGAUACACUUUCUUUUCCUCUUAUUUUUCUUCUUUUCUCCAAAGAGAGUAUUUUAAUCAAGUAUAUGAGAAAAUAAGAUAUUUGUAUAGUGGAUAAUGCCAUUAGCAUUUUUGAAUGAUUGUUGUGGAAAUACUUGCUUCUCCGGCUUUUAGCUGAUUUUUUAGUACAAUAUGCAUACGGUCAUGCAUUCGAUUGUUUUUUAUUGUACAAUUUAAUUUUUCAGGGUAGUGAUGCUCGCAUUUGACUUCAUGGUUGAGCAUUUGUAUUUCUCUGGAGUCUUGUGUGUUGGGGGUUGUUGUAGGAAAUCAAUGGAAAUUCAGCCGACAUGAAUUAACAUUUCUGGUACAGCGUAACAUGAUGUUCUAACGUUUACACAUACUCCAAUUUUUCAAGAUACUCCUUUUCAUUUACCAGUAAGUACUAAGUAGUAACUAUGAUUUAUUGUACAUAGGAAAAACAAAACAAUACUCGUUCCUGUCGAAUGCAUGCUCCUACAAAUAACAAUCCAAAUGCUCGUUUACAAAAUGAAAUCGUUUAUUUACAACAAGAAAAACGAACAACUUGGUCUAUAUUCACCAAAAAGAAUGUAUAAGCAUUUUUUUCUAUUAUCAAAACUCUAUACUGCAUUUUUUCACAUAUCAACUCAUACUGUAGAGCAAGCAAUGCUCAUGGUGCGACGUCUUUUAUCUCCGUUACCAAGAGUCUCGUACCAUCUACCAAUCUUAUUGUCUUAUAGACCUUUUAUAAGGUUCAUAUCAUAAUGCUCCACCAAAACACUCACCACACGAGAAGACAAUCACUGGUCUAGAGGCUAGCACUGGAGGGUACCAAAAUGACAUGCAGUGUUCCAUUGUUAGGAGGAAGUUGCAAACGAAGGGGAAACAGCUUGCCGUUUAAUGGACUGCGAGUGCACACCACAGCGUCCUCCAUGCACGUUUCUUCUCGCAACGUCUGAGUCAGCUCCGCCACGCUGUUCCCUUUAAACGUGAAAGCAUAUCCAACGCUCGAUUCAUCCUCCACGUGUCCUUCAUCGUCAGCGAUGUGGUAGUAUAUCGUUCUCCCAUCCGAUUUCGGUGGAGACACAACCGACUGGUCAAAACCAAAGUUCAUGUCAGGAGGGUAAUUAUAAACAAAAUUUGAGGGUAUUUCAGUAAUUAGCAAUAGUAACUCACAUCUUGUUCGGAUCUCUCUGAAAGAGAAGACGGAGUCCUCGAUGGCCUCCUAUGCGGUGGUGGCUGCGUCUUCACCGGCGGAGGCUGCGUCUUCGGUGACGGAGUGAACUCAGUCUCCGCCGUGACUUGAGGAUUAACCAAGAUCUCAACAACAUCAACCUCCCACGAGAUGGAAUCCUGAGUAGCCGACAAAUGAGGAAUGUCGUGCGUCACCGAGUUUCUCCACGGCGGAAGACCACCGUUACCUCGUAGAUAGUUACCGUAUCUCGUCCUGAGCUUAAUCUUGGAUCCUUCUCUAACUGGUUCCCACUCAACAGACGAGUCGAGACGACUCGGUUUUAGCUGAAUCACUUUCUUCCCCGUAGCUCCAAGCAAGAACCGCUCGUUCGAAGCGGUUAGGUAUUUACCGUAACAGCUUUUGAGACGGAUUACGUGGUACGAAUCGCGAACCGGUUCGACGGUCCAUCGAGCGUUUUUGGUUGAUCCGUUUCGGUCUUGUGUCACUGUUUCCUCGUCGUCGUCUGCGGAUAGAUACUUGUUGUGGCUGUU